Molecule: long non-coding RNA, 48444 nt
Filed under: Malus domestica (apple)
Lineage: Eukaryota; Viridiplantae; Streptophyta; Magnoliopsida; Rosales; Rosaceae
Description: long non-coding RNA (MDOM_LNC001197)
Source: RNAcentral
CUCGCCCACCAGGCCUUAAUCCAGAACGGCGCCGUGUUUGCCGACCGCCCCCUGGCCUUGGCCACCAACAAGUACGUCACCAGCAACCAGCACAACAUCAGCUCCGCCAUCUACGGCCCCACUUGGCGCCUCCUCCGCCGCAACCUCACCUCCGAAAUCCUUCACCCUUCCCGCAUCAAAUCCUACGGAAACGCCCGCAAAUGGGUUCUCGAUAUCCUCGUCAACCGCCUCAAAACCGAGUCUCAAUCCCACUCCGAAGGCGGCGCCGUCGUCAGGGUGGUCGACCACUUCCAAUACGCCAUGUUCUGCCUCCUGGUCUUGAUGUGCUUCGGCGACAAAUUGAACGAAGAGCAAAUCAAAGAAAUCGAGCAUGUGCAUCGCCAACUACUUUUGAGUUCCAGGCGGUUCAAUAUCCUCAAUUUCAAGCCGAAAUUGACGAAGAUUAUCUUCAAAAAUCGGUGGCGGCAAUUCUUCAAAAUCCUCGAGGAACGACGAGAAGUGCUCGUCCCUCUGAUUCGAGCACGACAAAACAGGGCAAAGCAGGGCAGCAAAACCGACGACAAAGACGAUGAAUUUGUGUUGUCGUAUACUGAUACGCUGCUGGACCUCGAACUUCCCGACGGCAACGAAAAGCGGAAGCUUUCGGAGGGAGAAAUGGUCAGCCUCUGCUCAGAGUUUCUGAACGGCGGCACCGACACGACUUCCACCGCGCUGCAGUGGAUCAUGGCCAACGUAGUGAAGUACCCGCAAGUUCAGGAGAAGCUGUUUGCGGAGAUUAAAGGGGUGAUGGGAGAAACGGAGGAGGAGGUGCGGGAGGAGGUCCUGCACAAGCUGCCGUAUCUGAAAGCCGUGAUCUUGGAGGGGCUGAGGCGCCACCCGCCGGGGCACUUUGUGCUGCCGCACGCUGUGACGCAUGACGUGGUUUUGGGCGGACACGUUGUGCCCAAGAACGGGACCGUUAAUUUCAUGGUGGCGGAUAUAGGGUGGGACCCGCAAGUGUGGGAAGAUCCCAUGGCGUUCAAGCCGGAGAGGUUCUUGGGCAGCGGCGGAGGAGAAGAAGGGUUCGAUUUGACGGGGAGCAGGGAGAUUAAGAUGAUGCCGUUUGGGGCAGGGAGGAGGAUCUGUCCUGCAUCGGGAUUGGCGGUGCUUCACCUGGAGUACUUUGUGGCGAAUUUGGUUUGGAAGUUUCAGUGGAGGGCUGUGGAGGGAGAUGACGUUGACCUGUCAGAGAAGACGGAGUUUACUGUGGUGAUGAAGAAUCCAUUGCAAGCCCACGUAAUCCCUAGAAUUUAAUACGUGGGAGAAUUCUGUACUAAUUUUUCGAUGUACGUUCAACCGCUAAAUCCAUCAAUGUAUAGAGGGGUGGGUUCAAAAAACCGAAAAUCAAAAAUCAAACCGCACCGAAACCGAAAAAACCGAACCGAAUUGAAAAAACCGAACCGAAUCGAAUUCUUUUGGUUCGGUUUGGUUUUAGUGCUCUAGAAACCGAACUAAACCGAACCGAACCGAAUUAAUUAAAUUAAUUUUUUAUUUAAUUAUUUGUUUUGGGUAUUAUUUUCUAAACCCAAUUUGUAAGUUAAAAUGUGCUAAACCCAAUGUGUUGCCAAACUUUAAGCUCAAAAUAUUUAAAAAAGGCCUAUAAAAACUCUAAACCCUAACAUAUUAUUUAUCUCCCAUAUAAGGUUCUGGAACCAAACCUCCUCCAGAAGUACUUACAUCCAUCUCCAUAGCACUGCCUACUUCUGCCAUAGCUUUCUUUUCCAAAUCUACUCUCAUAUAACAUGUAACAGAAUCCAUAAACAUUUAUUUCGGGUAGAUUACUUGGGUAAUUUGUGAUGGAAAAGAAUCUAACACACACUAAAUAAAUCUACCCACGCAUUAUUUUUACUAAUCAAGUUGUCAACAUGCAAUUACAAGCAAACAACCUUGAUCUUUGAACAACAUCAUACAAUUUAACUUUUCUAAGUCAUUUGUACGAUUUUUGUGAGGUUGUUAGUUUGGACUUUGGAAGACUUGAUUGAUGAUUUUAGUUCAAUUUUAAAUGUUUAUUUUCAUUGUCUUUGAUUCUAGUUAGAAUGCUUAUGUUAUGAUUGUGUUAGAUAUGUUAAAAUUUAAAAUUUCAAUGUUUUUCAUUUUUUGAAAAAAAAAAACAAAAAACCGAAACCGAACCGAAAAAAAACCGAACCGAAAAAAACCGAAAAAAAAAUGAACCGAACCGAACUGAACCGAAAUUUCGGUUUGGUUUCGGUUUUGGCAAAAAACCGAACCGAUUUAAACCGAACCCACCCCUAAAUGUAUAUGCUCUUCAUUGAUUAUGCAAUUUCGAAAAUUUGGAAUUUUAGUUUACCAAGUGUGAUUCAAGACAGAUUUUAUAAUUUUAAUAUUUAGUGAGUGAUUUGAGUGAGCUGUAUUUGCUACCUUGAUUUUACACUUCCUCCAGUUUGCAUAUAUUCAGGCAAAAAAAGUUUUUCAAUCUCAUUUUCCACAUCAAUGACAUCAUGAAUAGUUGUAUUAGAUGUGGGAUACUUACUUGCACUAACUUUCAAGGUUAUAAGAUAGAAGACCUUCAAAAAUUCCACAAACAUUUCUACACCAUUCCAAUCUUCCUCCUUAGGUGGUCCAACCUUCCUUUUACUCGCCACUUCUUCUCCUUCAUCAUUAAGCACAUUUUUCCUGAAAUAGGUGGAGUAUAUAUUGGCUUCAUCAUCUUCGGACAUCCUUUCAAAUGCUUUUUUAAACUUCAAGCAAUAUUCUAGCAUUAUGUAUGUGCUAUUCCACCUAAUAGGCACAUCCAUAACAACUAGACCCCUAAUAUCCAACUUCUCAUUCUCCACACAUUUCUUGAAAUAACUAAACCUUCGGGGACUUGAUGUCACAAACCGCACGACAUUUCUAAAAACAUCCACACUUGUAUCUAAUCUUUUCAACCAAGUUGAUAAUAUGAGCUAAGCACCUCACAUGCAUAAACUUGUCAUUCAUAAUAAUUUUACUAUUAGGCUAUUUCUGCAUUUUUCGAACAACAUACUCAAUUGCCACCUUAUUAGCCGAUGCAUUGUCAACUGAGAUACACAUUACCUUUUCAAUCUCCCACUCAACCAAACAUUGCUCAAUCAUCUUCUCUAUUUCUUUGCCUUCAUGACUUGAAAUCAAACAAAAGUUUAGAAUCCUUUUAUGCAUAUUCCAUUCAUCAUCCACAAAAUGAGCAGUGAGCACCAUGUAGUUCAAAUUUUGCACACUUGUAACGCCCCGUCCCGAAUUAAUUCUUUAAUUCCAGAAAUAAUAUUAUUAAUAUUGAUAGGCCCAAACUAAACUCCACUUUAUUUAGCAAAUUUUAAAUCACAAAUCUUUAUUUAAAUAACUCAUUCACAUACAAAACCAUCAAUAUUAAUUAAAAAUCAAAACGUAUAGUUACCUUACCAAAUUUAUGUACUAAAAUUUAUUUAUUAUACUUUAUAAAAAUUUCUUCAUUUCCAAUAUGAUUCAUAAACAUUAUUAUUUUAUCAACCACACAAUUAUAAUCUCAAGAUAUUUCCAUUUUCUUUCAAUUGAUCAAAGUUCUCAAAAUAAGAAUAAUUCUCAAUUAAAGUGAAAUUCUCGAUUAUUUAAGGCCGCAUCUAACACUGUUAGACUGCCUACGUACCCUGUAACCGGAUCAAGCCUUUCGUAGUUCACAUUUCAAAAAUUCAACCAAAUCCCGAAUAUAUUCAAUUAACAAACGAUAUUAACUACUGUAUUUACAACGAUCUUGAUCUGAUUUCCUUGACAGGUUGAAUUUGUUGGUGGGGCGCUGAGAUGCGGUGAAUAUGUGACAUUACGCAAAGUUGGGGAUGCAAGCCAUAAGGUUCGUCAGAUACAGAUAUGCUAAUAGUAUUAGCACCCAAGUUUUUGGUACAACAGUUGCAUUUUUGCAGAUGGAAAAUCUGACUAGCGUAUUUACAUUUUUUGUCUUUUUUUGUAGGGUGGUGGUUCCGGCACCCAACAAAUUGUGAUCAAAGGCCCCUUAUGCAAGGAUUAUUACAAGAUUCGGGAGUAUCUCUACUCACAAUUUUAUUUGCUUUGAGUAGAGAUACAUAAUAUCAAACGCCUUCGGAUGAACAGUCAUUUAGUCGCGAUGUUAAUUUAUAGUGAUUUCAUGAAACACACUAAAGUUUAAUUUAAAUGUAGGACUUAUUUUCAGUUGAAGUUGUCAAUUCUGUUCAUGCAUGAUGGAAAUCUUCGAAACAAAUUGGCAGUUCAAGUAAAUCAUAUUCAAGGAAACAAAUCAUGUUUGAUGAGUUAGAGACGAACGUGUUAAAUUCAAAUAGUACCAAGACAUUACAUACGUACUAAAACAAAACAUCACAAACGAAUCACAGUUAAACAUUUUAACUUGUUUACGGGACAAUAUACAAGUGAGCCGGAAUAAUGCGGCAAACAUGGCACGUAAAUUACAAUGCAUUUUACUAUUUUAGCUUCUCAUCGAUACAAUGCUGCGUGAUUGGUUUGGGAUAUUUUGCUUGAGGCAAGAGUUGAUCUCCACGUCAACGUCAACGUUCGUCAGCAAAGGAGCUUUAUCCAUCUCUUUGUAUAAUAUGGAAAAUAACAAUUUAUUAAGCAGACGCAUUUGCCCUUUGUCCGAUUGCUGACGGACCAUGGAAACCUGGUUCCUGAUCCUCAUCGCCUUCUGCGUCUCCUUCCUCCUCAAACCCCUUCUUUCCCUAUUCCUACCCACUUCCAUCUCCAAACCCAAGCUCCCUCCUGGGCCCCGCGUCUUCCCCGUCAUCGGCGGCUUCUUAUUCCUCCUCAAAUCCUUCUCGGAGCUCGAGCCUACCAUCUGCAAACUCAAGGCCAAAUACGGGCCCAUCAUCUCCCUCCGCCUCGGCUCCCGCCCCGCCGUCUUCAUCGCCGACCGCUCCCUCGCCCACCAGGCCUUAAUCCAGAACGGCGCCGUGUUCGCCGACCGCCCCCCGGCCUUGGCCACCAACAAGUACGUCACCAGCAACCAGCACAACAUCAGCUCCGCCAUCUACGGCCCCACUUGGCGCCUCCUCCGCCGCAACCUCACCUCCGAAAUCCUUCACCUUUCCCGCAUCAAAUCCUACGGCAACGCCCGUAAAUGGGUUCUCGAUAUCCUCGUCAACCGCCUCAAAACCGAGUCUCAAUCCCACUCCGAAGGCGGCGUCGCCGUCGUCAGGGUGGUCGACCACUUCCAAUAUGCCAUGUUCUGCCUCCUGGUUCUGAUGUGCUUCGGCGACAAAUUGAACGAAGAGCAAAUCAAAGAAAUUGAGCGUGUGCAUCGCCAACUACUUAUGAGUUCCGGGCGGUUCAAUAUCCUCAAUUUCAAGCCGAAAUUGACGAAGAUUAUCUUCAAAAAUCGGUGGCGGCAAUUCUUCAAAAUCCUCGAGGAACGACGAGAAGUGCUCGUCCCUCUGAUUCGAGCACGACAAAACAGGGCAGCAAAACCGACGACAAAGACGAUGAAUUUGUGUUGUCGUAUACUGAUACGCUGCUGGACCUCGAACUUCCCGACGGCAACGAAAAGCGGAAGCUUUCGGAGGGAGAAACGCUCAGCCUCUGCUCAGAGUUUCUGAACGCUGGCACCGACACGACUUCCACCGCAAGUUCAGGAGAAGCUGUUUACGGAGAUUAAAGGGGUGAUGGGAGAAACGGAGGAGGAGGUGCAGGAGGAGGUCCUGCACAGGCUGCCGUAUCUGAAAGCCGUCAUCUUGGAGGGGCUGAGGCGCCACCCGCCGGGGCACUUUGUGCUGCCGCACGCGGUCACGCAUGACGUGGUUGUGGAUGCAAAUUUCUUCCUCCUUGAUCUUGGACAAUUUUGCACCUACAAAACAAUUAAUACCUUAGGUUAAGGCCAAGAGCCUCACGCGCCCACGAUGAAUGGGGGGGGCUUUGGCCGAAUAACCUCCGAUGCUAAAGUUAGAAUUUAGAGAGAAAGAGUGUUUAGAGAAUUUUGGGAUUUUUGCCAAAGUGUUGGAAUUGAUUUUUUGGUGAGAAUAGGUGCCUAUUUAUAGAGUUAGGAGGUGGCUAGGGUUUUUAGGUUUAAUUUAGGUUUAAUUAGCCAAUUUAUUAUGAUUAAUUGGCUAAUUUAAACAUAAAGGAAUGUUUUGAUGGUUAUGGGUUUAAUUGGCUAGUUGAAUAAGGAAAAAAUGAGGUAAAAACAUAUAUGAAAUAGGUUUUGAAUUGUUACCCAUUUUGGGUACUUCUGACUUGGUUGAUGGAUGAUUCUCCACUGCUCGCGUGUAGGAGACCCGGUAUGCCUCGAGGGUAUUUUUGUCCUUUUUGUCCAAAAAACCCAUGUGUCGCCUUGUGAAUAUUUUUGGCUCCACAAAUGCCCCCACACCUGUUGGGCUGCUCGCAGAAAAGGGCGGCAGGUGUAGAGAUUUUCUUGCUUUAGGAAACUUAGGACUGCUUCCUAUUUUGAUGUAGAUUCUCUCUUUAAUAGGAAAUUAGAUCCUUCUAGGAAAGGGAAAUAAAUUUCUCUCAAAACCUAUUUAAGUCCACCUUAAGUGGGUUAUUAAAUCAACUUUGGAGAGCGAUUUAUUCUACCCUACAAGAGAGAGAUAGCUUAGAGGAUAUUUGUUCCCCCUCCUCUAGCAAUCUUCUACAUCUUGCCCGUGCAAAUGACCGUCUUUCGUUGCUUUCUUCGUCUUCUUCGUGCCGCACCAAUGUAAGAAAAAUUUAAUUUUUCUUGCCUUAUUCUUGGAUAGUGCUAUUGCGAGGUAGCCGUCGGGGUGGUGUGGCAUGUCGGCUGGCAGGGGCCAGGAGCUGGCUCGGCAUGAGCUGAGGAGAUGUCGUGGCAGGGACCACUGCUUGGGUAGCUUGGCUUGGCCUGAGCCAAGGGCAGCUUGUGCAGCUGGGGUCGAGGAUUGUGGCGCUAGGGCACAAUGUUAGGCGAGCCGCAUAGCUCAUGUCCUUUGGGCUCUUGGACCUGACUCGGGCCAGGCUGGCGAUUGAGAGAAAUAAAGAGAUUGCGGGUCUCAUGGGCUGCUGGAAUGUUGGGCAUGCAUGCCUUCUGCCUGCUGGAAUGCUGGGUUGAGCUCCCCUGCUGAGUACCAUGAAUGUCGUUGGCUACUUAGUCUUCUUUGCUGAAAGAAAGGUGGGCUGCUCCAGAAAGAUGAGGUAAAGAGGAUCAAGGCGGAUGCAUUGGCUCGUCUGAUCGCUGUCGUGGAGCUUACUAUGAAUGAAGAUGGAAAGAAGAGAUCUUCCCCGCCUGCUCAUGAGAUGCCUAGUUAAGAAAAAACUGAAGACUUCUUCUGCUGUUCAUGAGGGUCCGCUUGCUACCGAGAGGUAUGUGAUUGACAUGACUUCUUCUAAUGGGAAGAAAAAUAAGGCUGCUAGAUCUGAGCAUGUGGCGUCUUCCAUGUUGAGAAUGGCUAGUACAAUUGUGGAUAAGAUUGCUUAGCGUAAAGGUUUUAUCAUGCCCCCAGUGCCGAAGUCUGUACCAGGACGUUCUUUGGGAGCCAAGUCCGGUUCACCUUUGUAGAGACUUGCUAUUAUGAAGAGUGGUAAGGUGGACUCUGCUACUAAAGUGGCGCCAAAGCCUGCUCCCUUUGCUGCUGAGAUUGAUUCGCCUCAGAUUCAAGAUCUUAAGCUUGCAAUUUCUGAGCUUCGUUUCACUGCUUAUGCUAAGAAGGGAGUGGAUGAGCUGCAGCGCGUCUGUGUUAGUCUGCUUAAGAAGAAUGAGCAGCUGAAGGGUGAGAAUGAUGGGCUUGAGGUUUUAAGACCUUCUCUAUUUCUCCGAAAGACUUGCUUGCUUUUACUUUUAAGGCUUCCAUUGGUGAAGUAGUUGGAGAAGUUAGUGCCCAAACUGGGGCAGCCGGGGGUGAAGUGCCGGAUGAUGCCGUUGCUAAGAGUAUUACGGCUGUUGAAGGUGUGGCGACCGAGUAGUCGUGGGAUGUCCAAACUGCUGUAGUGUAGUAUUUUAGGUAGCCUUUAGGAUUUUUCUUUGUUUUUUCCUUGUAGCUUUUGUUUUGCUUGAACUCCUUCGGCCUUUGCUAGUUGUUUAUAAACAUGUUUUCCUUCGUUUUUCUUUAUCUUCACUUCUUUUGUUCAUGCCCUAACCUUUAGACUUGAUAGACCAGUGGCAGGCAUGCUACUUUUUUAUAAGCAGACAAACUCGCGUAGCCUAUGCAGCCGUAGGUGUUGGUGUAGAACUUUGCAAAGUUGUUAGCCAUAGGGUUGGCAGCCGGAUGCCUUACUUACAGAAGCAGACAAGUCCGCGUAACCACUAGGCUGUUAACCUUGACUUUCUUCAAUUCCGUAGGUUGCGUAGCAAGUAUCACAACACUUUAGGACUUGGUGUAGGUUGUUCCGCGCUUGGCAGAGGUGAAGCUUAUCGACUACGUAGCAUGUCGGCAGUGGAUAAAACUUCGUAUAUGCGCGCUAGCUUGUUUAACCUUUCACAAGAAUGUGCGGUUGUAUAAGUCUAGUGCGGCUUCACUGCUCGAAGGGCAAGCCGUAGGCAGUCUUCCGGAAUCCGUAGGCUACCUUAGUGCACUCGGUAGCAGCUUUAGGAUUCCAGGGCAGCCGUCCAUCGGAUGUACUGCGUAAUGUGCCCUCUCCGUCUCUAGGGCCCGGUUCCCUACGGAUUAGGCCAAGAGACCCAAAAUCCUUCAGUUAGCUAAGCCUUGAAAAAGACCAUUGCGGCUACUUCUAGGAAUCCCGGCGCAAGCCAUCGUGCAUCUAGUUAUACUAGGGCAGCCAGGCUCAUCCACGUCUGGAUAUUCGGAGUGUAAAGUUUAUCCUCCCGUCUUGGAGAGCUGACCCAUAUGGGUGUUGGAGAAUUGGUUUACCCUCUCGCACUGGAGAGCAUGGUUGGUCCCUCGGGGGGCGCAAUUCCUGCGAUGAGUCCCUAAGAAGGGCGCAGUCUUCUCUUUUGAAGUGCAGGAGUGAUUAGUUGUUGUAAGCAUGCAGCCAAGCCAAGUUGUGAUUACUUCUAAAUUCCUCAUUGAAAAACGAGUGAAACGAACGAGAACUUUAGCUGUAAGGUAGGAACUGCAUAACAACUGGAUAGUCCUCAGCUUGUGAGGUGGUGCCCGUCGAGCUUAUUGAGUCUUCGGGUUUUGAUGUAGCAGGAGGUCACACAUGGUACUUCUUCAGAUUGUAGGCCAUCCAUUUCUUUUCAAUCUUUUUGCCGCUUCAUGGUGGUGAGGGUGUAAUUACUCUUGCCCCCUACUCUGCUGAUCUUGUACGGACCUUCCCAGAUGGGAUCCAUCUUUUUGGAGCCUUCUCUGCCGGCAGUGAUGAAGGUUUUUUUGCGUCGUCGACAUGCAAAUGCCAGAAGUCUCCAUCGGGUGGAGUAGGCGCAGCUAGAGUGUGCUCGGCUACUUCUGAGGCAUCGUUGGGCCGCUCUGUUGCGUCACCUAGGCUCGGCGUGAAGACGCAGUAGGGAGCUGUGGAGAUGGGGCCAUGUCAUACGCAACAGGAGAUGCUCAACUGCCGGUAUUGGGCCACUCUAGAGUUGAAUCAUUGAGCAAGGGUCGGCUAGGGCCGUGUGAUGCGCAGCAAGAAAUGGUACUCAACUGCCGGUACAUGUGUGCUCCUAUGUAGAAUCUUUUAGGGUGACGAGGACAAAACUUGCUUUCGAGUGUGUCCUUCCAGUGUUGCGUUCGUCAGAAAACUUUACAUCCGCCAGGGUCUACGUCUUUAUCGUCGCGCGUCUGGAUUGGGCAGAAUAGUACGUCAUUAGGAUAAUUGCAUGCGUUUGAAAGUAAAACUUGUGCUUCUGGGUUGCAACAACUAUCGCCAAAGUUAGCUUUUGAAUUUUUAAUAACAUCGAAGAGAGCUUUUGAACUGUAGAAUACAGGUAACUGUGGAAUACAGGUAGUCGGGCCCCCAUCUCUUCUCGCAUGAUGGUAGAGCUUAUUGCUACUUUAGAUACCGUCAAACAUGUGAAUAAGUCCUCCGCUGCUUCUAGGGAGGUGAUGUCGGGUACUUCUUCAAGUCCUUGAAUGUGCAUUGGCGAGCCUCAUCCCAAAGUGCAUACUUCUCUGCCAAAGCAAAAGAGUCUGCCAGAGUUAGAUCUUCUUUCAUGAUUAAUUUUCCGAAUAACGGGUGGUCUGCUGGAAGUCCUUUUUGGAAGGCUGCUCUAGCUAUCGAGUCGUUGCAUCCGACUAUUUUUGCCUUCUCUACUUUGAACCUCCUCACAUAGUCGCGAAGUGACUCCUUUGGGUUCUUCUUGACGUUGAACAAAUGAUCAGAUUUCUUUUUGAUCGAGCGAUAGGAUGAAUAUUCUUUGGUGAAAACCAAAGAAAGUUCGUAGAAAUUCCGGAUGGAUUGUGGCGACAGGGUGUAGAACCAAUCUUGCGCCUCGCCUUGUAGAGUGGUGGCGAAUAUCUUGCACAUAAGCUCAUCGUUGUUUCGAUAAAGGAUCAUUGCGCUUCGGUAGCGCUUUAAGUGUCUCUCCGGGUCUUUAUCCCCUUUGAAAGAUGUGAAAUGUGGCAUGCUGAACUCUCGUGGAGGCUCUGCCUGCUCGAUCUCGUCCGUGAAGGGUGACCUGCUUAUGUUGGUCAUGUUCCAUCGUAGUGCCUCGUCCGUGACCUCGUUGCGUUGGAAAUCAUGCAAUCGCUUGGUCAAGAGUCUCUCUACUUCUUCCUGAAUUUGCCUUUGUUGGGGUAGCGGAGCUCUCGGCUGCCCCCAGCCAUGACUUGGUGGUCUAGACUGCUCUUCCAUGUGUUUGGCUCGUCUACGCCGCAGAUGCAGUGCAUGUGGUGCGUUCCUAGCAGGCUGCUGGUUGAACUUGAGCUGGAUUGAGUGACUGCCUCUUUCCGUCCGUCGUGCUGCCUACUCUGAUGUGAGGUGGAUGAUGCUCCUUGUGGGCUUAGCCGCGAAUGAACACUUUGUCCGGAAGGUUGCUCAUGUUGACUAUCGGAGUGUGACCCCAACCGUGAAUGUAUGCUCAUCCGUGGGCCUAGUCGAGAGUACACGCUCCUCCGCGCGCUAAGACGGGAGUAUACGCUAUCUCGGGGGCCCAAUCGGGAAUGUACACUGCCUGAACGUUCGGCUCGUGGCUGGUCGAAAGGCUGCUUGCUGCUGCUGGAAAGGUUCGUCUGCCCUUGUCCUACUUCGGGAUACCUUGUCCGGGGCACGUUGGAUCCGAUGCGUUGCAAAAGUUGAUUCACCAAAGUUGUCUGUUGUGCAAGGGCGCUCGUCAACUCUAUGACUUGUCGAGACAAGUGUUGUUCGCCAUUUGGAUUGGAAGAGCUUGGAAGGAAUGCGCCUCCUUGGGCAGUGGAAAUGUGGUAGACUCCGGGUGCGAGAUUUGAAUUGGGAAAUGUCAAAUCCGCGAAAAAAUAUGGUAAGAAUGCCCCCGGCUCGAUGGUAGGUCCGGAUGGUUGAGAUAGUCUUGGGUCGACUUGGGCUGCUUGGAAAGCCACUGGAGCAUGAUGAGCCUUGAGAGUGGGCUGCUCGUCGGGAGUAGGCUGGGUCACGAGAGCAGGCUGCUUGGCAGGAGCAGGUUGGGCCGUGAGAGUGGGCUGCUCGACGGAAGCAGGCUGAACCACGAGAGUGAGCUGCUCGUCGGGAGCAGGCUGGGUCACGAGAGCAGGCUGCUUGGCAGGAGCAGGCUGGACCACAGGAGUGGGCUGCUCGACGGAAGCAGGCUGGACCGCGGGAGUGGGUUGCUCGUCGGGAACAGGCUGGGUCACGAGAGCAGGCUGGGCCACGGGAGUGGGCUGCUUGGCAGGAGCAGGCUGGGCCACCGGAGUGGGCUGCUCGACGAAAGCAGGCUGGGCCACGGGAGUGGGCUGCUCGUCGGGAGCAGGCUGGGUCACGAGAGCAAGCUGCUCGGCAGGAGCAAGUUGGGCCGUGAGAGUGGGUUGCUUGACGGGAGCAGGCUGCUCAAUGCGCGGUGCAUAUGAAUGCGAGGCUUGGGCUUGGGUCCACGUAAACUCAGAUGGCACGGCUUGGAUCGUGGUCUUGGUACCGUGAGCCUUGGAUGGCACGGCUCGGGCCGUGGUGAAGGCUCCAUGGACCUCGCCACGAGUGGCUACCGAAGUAGCCACCGCGGUGGUUCCCAUGGUGGCCGUGGUGAAGGCACCAUGGACCUCGCCGCGGGUAGCUACCGAGGUAGCCACCACGGUGGUUCCCAUGGUAGAAGCUUGUGGUGAUGAUGCCGCUCCCCUUAUUGUCGCAUUUUGCCUCACGGAUCUCCGGGUCGUGGUGAAGGCUCCAUGGACCUCGCCACGAGUGGUUACCGAAGUAGCCACCGCGGUGGUUCCCAUGGCGGCCGUGGUGAAGACACCAUGGACCUCGCCGCGGGUGGCUAUCGAGGUAGCCACCACGGUGGUUCCCAUGGUGGAAGCUCGUGAUGAUGAUGCCACUCCCCUUAUUGUCGCAUUUAGCCUCACGGAUCUCCGCAAUCCCAUUUCUUGAACAUUAUAAUUUUCACUUGUGGAAUUUUCUAAAUUUCUAGCCAUUAUAUUUUGCUUAUACGUUUUAUCAAAGAACCUUUGCAAGUAAAAAAUUCUAAUAAUAAGAACGUAUGAAAAAUAUUCAAAUGGACUAGAAAAUAAAGAAAAAAAAACAUUUUUGUGUGAGAGUCUUCUACGAGUAUGGAUUUCAACUCUCAAUGAAAGCACCAAUUUGUGGAUGCAAAUUUCUUCCUCCUUGAUCUUGGACAAUUUUGCACCUACAAAACAAUUAAUACCUUAGGUUAAGGCCAAGAGCCUCACGCGCCCACGAUGAAUGGGGAGGCUUUGGCCGAAUAACCUCCGAUGCCAAAGUUAGAAUUUAGAGAGAAAGAGUGUUUAGAGAAUUUUGGGAUUUUUGCCAAAGUGUUGGAAUUGAUUUUUUGGUGAGAAUAGGUGCCUAUUUAUAGAGUUAGGAGGUGGCUAGGGUUUUUAGGUUUAAUUUAGGUUUAAUUAGCCAAUUUAUUAUGAUUAAUUGACUAAUUUAAACAUAAAGGAAUGUUUUGAUGGUUAUGGGUUUAAUUGGCUAGUUGAAUAAGGAAAAAAUGAGGUAAAAACAUAUAUGAAAUAGGUUUUGAAUUGUUACCCAUUUUGGGUACUUCUGACUUGGUUGAUGGAUGAUUCUCCACUGCUCGCGUGUAGGAGACCCGGUAUGCCUCGAGGGUAUUUUUAUCCUUUUUGUUCAAAAAACCCACGUGUCGCCUUGUGAAUAUUUUUUGCUCCACAGUGGUUUUGGGCGGACACGUUGUGCCCAAAAACGGGACCGUUAAUUUCAUGGUGGCGGAUAUAGGGUGGGACCCGCAAGUGUAGGAAGAUCCCAUGGCGUUCAAGCCGGAGAGGUUCUUGGGCAGCGGCGGAUGAGAAGAAGGGUUCGAUUUGACGGGGAGCAGGGAGAUUAAGAUGAUGCCGUUUGGGGCAGGGAGGAGGAUCUGUCCUGCAUCGGGAUUGGCGGUGCUUCACCUGGAGUACUUUGUGGCGAAUUUGGUUUGGAAGUUUCAGUGGAGGGCUGUGGAGGGAGAUGACGUUGACCUGUCAGAGAAGACGGAGUUUACUGUGGUGAUGAAGAAUCCAUUGCAAGCCCACGUAAUCCCUAGAAUUUAAUACGUGGGAGAAUUCUGUACUAAUUUUUCGAUGUACGUUCAACCGCUAAAUCCAUCAAUGUAUAUGCUCUUCAUUGAUUAUGCAAUUUCGAAAAUUUGGAAUUUUAGUUUACUAGUGUGAUUCAAGACAGAUUUUAUAAUUUUAAUAUUUAGUGAGUGAUUUGAGUGAGCUGUAUUUGCUAUCUUCAUGUAAUUGUAAACACGCAUCGGAGAUUACGAAGUAGCUUGGGUUGAUUUUGAGGCAGGAAAGACAGAAAAUGAAAUGCUAUCUUUACAACCCCUCUCAACCCUGCCUUCACCGCAUGAAUCUAUCCUUAUUGGUGACUUAAAAAGGGCUAAUUUCAAGCAAUUUCUUUCCGACAAGGGUGUUCAGUUACCAUUUCCGUUCAUUGCUUAAUUUGUUAGAUUAUGUUUCAUCACCAAAAUUCGAUAUGUGAAAUAAUCUCACGUUCUCAACUUCUAGAUAAGGUUAAAUCUCUAUGGAACUACCAUAUAUACAACGAUUUUGAUCUGAUUUCCUUGACAUGUUGAAUUUGCUGGUGGGGCGCUGAGAUGCGGUGAAUAUGUGACAUUACGCAAAGUUGGAGAUGCAAGCCAUAAGGUUGGUCAUAUACAUAUAUGCUAAUAGUAUUUGCACCCAAAUUUUUAGCACAACAGUUGCAUAGCUAGAGUUCUGGUUUGCGGAUGGAAAGUCUAACUAGCGUAUAUAUAAUUUGAUCUUUUGUAGGGUGGUGGUUCUGGCACCCAACAAAUUGUGAUCGCAAGCCCUUAUGUCAGGAUUAUUACAAGAUUCAGGAGUAUCUCUACUCACAAUUUUGUUUGUUUUAAGACUAUCUUCAACCCUUGGGGACAAGACAAAGCUUAAAAAUUUAAGCCAGAAAAUUUGAAGUCAUAAGCCAUAAACUAUUUUUCUCUUUCAACACUUAUGGCUUAAAAUUUUAGCCCGUGAUGAUCAAAUAAUGAUAUUAGCCUAAUUUUUUGUUUUCUGUAACUUCUUUUGAAAAUAAAAUUUAUGUAGAUUAUCUUAAUUUAUUUUUAUGAACAUUUUAGUCUAAAAAUAUUUAAAUUCUCAAAUACAUAUGUAUUUAUAAAGUUCUAAGUUAAAUUUGAUUUAAAUAAUUUUCUUAAAUUAUUUUAGACGUUGGUUUAAUUUUGGGCCGUCAAAUCUUUUUUUUACUAUUAGAUUUGAUCUCAUUUGAUCGUAGCCGUUAGAUUAUAAGUAAACAACAAAAAAAUAAUUGAAAUAUAACAGUUUGGUGGAUCCAGAAUAAUUUAAACCAGGCUUAAAUCCUGGAAGUAAUCUAGCUUAGAGAUAUAUUUUCUCUCCAGGGUUUAUUUUAGCCCAUGAUUGGAGAUGAUUUGGGAGAAGUUUUAAAACUUAUGUUUUAAGCUUUAUUUUAUGAAUUGGUGAUGGUCUAAGUGAAGAGACAUAAUAUCAAACGGGUGAACUAACAUUUAAUCACGAUGUUAACUUCCAGUGAUUCCACGAAACACACUAAAGUUAUUUCAACGUAGACUUAUUUUUCUUCGAAGUUGCAAUGGUAAGACAUUUUAAGUGAAAGUGACAAUAUGUGCAGCUGAGUCAAAGCCGUGGAAACCUGAUUUCUUAUAGGACAAGGAUUGUCUGCCCUCCUAGUUGUGGUGCCCUUUCAUGCACUCUUAUUUUGUGCGGUCAUGAUUAAGCCAUGUCAAUAUUUUAUAUUUUUAUUGUUUUUUAUCUUAUUAUCUCAUUAAAAAUUAAUAUAAAAUAUUAAUAUGACUUAAGCGUGACCGCACAAAAUAAGAGAGAAUGGAAGGGCACCACAAUUAGGAGGGCAGACUGUCCUUUCUUAUAAAGUAUGGAAACUAACAAGAACUAACAAUUAAUGAGCAAACGCAGUCGCCCUCUGUCUGAUUGCUUACGAUUCACCAUGGAAACCUGGUUCCUUAUCCUCAUCGCCCUCUGCGUCUCCUUCCUCCUCAGACCCCUUCUCUCUCUAUUCCUACCCACUUCCAUCUCCAGAUCCAAUCUCCCUCCCGGGCCUCGCUUCUUCCACAUCAUCGAAGGCUUCUUAUUCCUCCUCAAAUCUACCUCGGAGCUCGAGCCUAUAAUCCGCAAACUCCAGGCCGAAUACGGGCCCAUCAUCUCCCUCCCCAUCGGCUCCCGCUCUACCGUCUUCGUCGCCGACCGCUCCCCCGCCCACCAGGCCUUAAUCCUGAACGGCGCCGUGUUCGCCGACCGCCCCCAGGCCUUGGCCACCAACAAGUGCGCCAGCAGCAACCAGCACACCAUCGCCUCCGCCGUCUACGGCCCCACGUGGCGUCUCCUCCGCCGCAAUAUCACCUCCGAAAUCCUCCACCCUUCCCGCGUUAAAUCCUACGGCAGCGCCCGCAAAUGGGUUCUCGACAUCCUCGUCAACCGCCUCAAAACCGAGUAUCAAUCCCACUCCGAAGCCGCCGCCGCCGGGGUCAGGGUGGUCGACCACUUCCAAUACGCCAUGUUCUGCCUCCUGGUUCUGAUGUGCUUCGGCGACAAAUUGAACGAAGAGCAAAUCAAAGAAAUCGAGCACGUGCAGCGCCAACUACUUUUGAGUUCCGGGCGGUUCAAUAUCCUCAAUUUCAAGCCGAAAUUGACGAAGAUUAUCUUCAAAAAUCGGUGGCGGCAAUUCUUCAAAAUCCUCGAGGAACGACGAGAAGUGCUCGUCCCUCUGAUUCGAGCACGACAAAACAGGGCAAAGCAGGGCAGCAAAACCGACGACAAGGAUGAUGAAUUUGUGUUGUCGUAUACAGAUACGCUGCUGGACCUCGAGCUUCCCGACGGCAACGAAAAGCGGAAGCUUUCGGAGGGAGAAAUGGUUAGCCUCUGCUCAGAGUUUCUGACCGCCGGCACCGACACGACUUCCACCGCGCUGCAGUGGAUCAUGGCCAACGUAGUGAAGUACCCGCAAGUUCAGGAUAAGCUGUUUGCGGAGAUUAAAGGGGUGAUGGGAGAAACGGAGGACGAGGUGCCGGAGGAGGUCCUGCACAAGCUGCCGUAUCUGAAAGCCGUGAUCUUGGAGGGGCUGAGGCGCCAUCCACCGGCGCACUUUGUGCCGCGCGCGGUGACGCAUGACGUGGUUUUGGGCGGAUACGUGGUGCCCAAGAACGGGAGUGUUAGUUUCAUGGUGGCGGAUAUAGGGUGGGACCCGCAAGUGUGGGAGGAUCCCAUGGCUUUCAAGCCGGAGAGGUUCUUGGGCAGCGGCGGAGAAGAAGGGUUCGAUUUGAGGGGGAGCAGGGAGAUUAAGAUGAUGCCGUUUGGGGCAGGGAGGAGGAUCUGUCCAGGGUCGGGAUUGGCGGUGCUUCACCUGGAGUACUUUGUGGCGAAUUUGGUGUGGAAAUUUGAGUGGAGAACUGUGGAGGGAGAUGACGUGGACCUGUCAGAGAAGCAGGAGUUUACUAUAGUGAUGAAGAAUCCAUUGCAUGCCCACGUAAUCCCUAGAAUUUAAUACGUGUGAGAAUUCUGUACUAAUUAUUCGGUGCAUAUUCAACCGUUGAAUCUAUCCAUGUAUGCUUUUCAUUGAUUAUGUAAUUUUGAAAAUUUAGAUUUUUAGUUUACUAGUCUGAUUCAAGACGGAUUUUAUAACUUCAAUAUUUAGAGAGUGAUUUGUGUGAGAUGUAUUUGCUACUUUUUAGCUUAUAACUAAUACAACUUUCAAAUCUUGGGAAGACAACUUCUGUAUUAGAGACUGCCCAAGAGCAAGGAGCAUUUGAGCAUUUGAGAAUUUGAUGGGAUUGCCUACAUAGGUACAACUCUCCUUUAAUCUUUGUGUUACAGCUUGUCUAAUGACUAAUUCGAAAUCCAAGUUACUGUAGUCUAAACAAAUUCGGUGGAGUAGUGUUUUUGUUUUUACCUUUGCAUAUAUGGAAAUGAAAGAAUAAAUAACUCUUUGAAGACAACUUCUUUCCGACAAAGGUGUUGAGGUACCAUUUCCAUUCAUUGCUUAAUUUGUUAGACUAUGCUUCAUCCCCAAAAUUCAUCAUCUGAAGUAAUCUCAAGUUUUCAACUUCAUGUUUUGAGCCCCAGAGAAAAGGUUAAGCUCUAUGGAACUACUAUAUUUACAGCGAUCUCGAUCUGAUAUGCUAAUAGUAUUAGCACCCAAGUUUUUGUUACAACAGUUGCAUUUUUGCAGAUGGAAAAUAUGACUAGUGUAUUUAUAUUUUUUAUCUUUUUUGUAGGGUGGUGGUUCCGGCACCCAACAAAUUGUGAUCGAAGGCCCCUUAUGCGAGGAUUAUUACAAGAUCUGGGAGUAUCUCUACUCACAAUUUUAUUUGCUUUAAGUAGAGAUACAUAAUGUUAAAUGCCUUCGGAUGAACUGUCAUUUAGUCGUGAUGUUAAUUUCUAGUGAUUUCAUGAAACACCCUAAAGUUUAAUUUAAAUGUAUGACUUAUUUUCCGUUGAAGUUGUGAAUUCUAUUCAUGCAUGAUGGAUCUUCGACACAAAUUGGCAGUUCAAGUAAAUCAUAUUCAAGGAAACAAAUCAUGUUUGAUGAGUUAGAGACGAACGUGUUAACUUCAAAUAGUACCAAGACAUUACAUACAUGCUAAAACUAAACAUCACAAACGAAUCACAGUUAAGCAGUUUAACCUUUUUACGUGACAAAAUAUAGUUGAGUCGGAAUAAUGAGGCAAACAUGACAAGUAAAUUGCCAUGCAUUUUAGCUUUUCAUCGAUACAAUGUUGUGUGAUUGGUUUGCGAUAUUUUGCUCCACCCAAGAGUUGGUCUCCAGGUCAACGUCAACGUUCGUCAGCAAAGGAGCUUUAUCCAUCUAUUUAUAAAAUAUGGAAAAUAACAAUUUAUUAAGCAAACUCAUUUGCCCUUUGUCUGAUUGCCAACGGUUGACCAUGGAAACCUGGUUUGGAAGUUUCAGUGGAGGGCUGUGGAGGGAGAUGACGUUGAUCUGUCAGAGAAGAUGGAGUUUACUGUGGUGAUGAAGAAUCCAUUGCAAUCGUGCAUAAUUCCUAGAACUUAAUAAGUUAGUGAAUUCUGUACUAAUUCUUCGGUGCACCGUUAAAUCCAUCCAUGUAUGCUCUUCAUUGAUUAUGUAAUUUCGAAAAUUUGGAUUUUUAGUUUACUAGUGUGAUUCAAGACCCUUAAUAAAAGGUUUAGUAUUUGAAUCUAACAGAGGACAUGACAUAUAACCAAGCGCAAUGACGUUUUAUGAUUCAUAUAGCCAACCCUACUUAGUGGAAAAAGACUUUGUUGUUGUUGUUGUUGUAGUGUGAUUCAAGACAGAUUUUAUAACUUCAAUAUUUAGUGAGUGAUUUGAGUGAGCUGUAUUUGCUAUCUUGAUGUAAUUGUAAACACGUAUCGGAGAUUAUGAAGUAGCUUGGGUUGAUUCUGAGGCAGGAAAGACAGAAAAUGAAAUGCUAUAUUUACAACCCCUCUUAACCCCGCCUCCACCGCAUGAAUCUGUCCUUGUUGGUGACUUAAAAAUGGCUACUUUCAAGCAAUUUCUUUCCGACAAGGGUGCUUAGAUACCAUUUCCGUUCAUUGCUUAAUUUGUUGGACUAUGUUUCAUCACCAAAAUUCGUUAUAUGAAAUAAUCUUUCUCAACUUCAUGUUUUGUAGCCCAUAGAUAAGGUUAAAUCUCUAUGGAACUACCAUAUAUACAACUAGGGGUGGGCACGGGCCGGGCCGGGCCCAAUUUUGAAGGGACUGGACCGGACCUGGGUUCAAAGAAAACGGGUCAAAGAUUACAUUUUUUAAUAUAGGAACCAGACCUUACCCGGCCCGGUUGAAAUGGGCCAGUUCAGGCUAGGUCCACGGGUCCCUUUUUUUUUUUUGGUUUGAAAAAAAAUAAUAAAAUUUGCACUGAUUGCAAACUGCACUGAUUGCAACUGCACAGAGUCACAGACUGCAUUUAUGCAAAUUUUGCACAAAUUCACCAUUAUUCACAUCCAAUCAAAAAUUCUAAAUACAAAGUCCAACAUUCAAGUUCAUAGAUUAACAAUACAUCCAAAAUAACAAUAUUACAUCGUCCAACAUCUAAAAAUCAAAUCAACAUACAAAUAUCCGAAAGUCCAAGGCAUCCACAAUAAAUUCCAAAUUAACAUCCAAAACCACAUCCAACGUCCAAGUUCUAACAACAAUCCUCAUUGAAUCUGUAAGCAAAAAUAGAAUAUAAACAUGACAUUUUUAACGUCUAAUAUCACAUUAUCCUCAUUGAAUCAUUGAAAUUUAAAGUUUAUUCAUUUGAGUUUAAAAUAUUACCGCAAUUCCUUUUCCUUUAUUCGUUCGAGUUGUUUGAGGAGCUUCAAUUUCAGGAACACUUGGUAAGAUGGUUGAGCUUGUAGAUAUAGUAUUUGCUCUUCUUCUUUUAUAUUCUACAACAAAGAACAAACGUUAAUUGUAAACCAAUUAAUAUAAAGUAUAAAUCAAGCUAUGCAAAACAAAAUAAUUACCUUAUUCACACUCUUGAUAAAAUUCAAGCUCAGCCGAACUUGCUUCAUACUCAAUGUUGCUAAUUGGUUCACAUCUUAACCAAUUUUGGAGGCAUAUCAAUGACUCCAAUGUUUGAGGAAGGAGAGAUGAUCUAAAAGGGUCAAUUACUCACUUUCCUCCACUAAAUGCACUUUCACUGGCAACUAUGGACACUUGAAUUGGCAAGACAUUUUUCGCUAUCAAAGCAAGUGUGGGAUAUGUGCUCCUCCCUUUCAACUUCCACCAUUUCAAAACGUCAAAUUGUGAACCAUAUGGUACUUUCUCUACAAUGUCAAGGAGAUACUUAUCCACCUCAUGUGCAAGCGCAAUAUCUUCGGUGUCUUCUAGUUCAUUCUCCCAAUCAUUUACGAUUUGACUAAAUAUCAUUAGAUUUUCUGUUGGCACACUAGAAGAUGAUUGUUUUACCCUUGAACAAGUAGUGUCAACAAGUAAAUCUUCUCUACCCUUUUGUUGUGUUAUGAACCGAAAGCUUGGUAAGCAUAUUCAUCACACAUUGCCUUCAACAAUGUCUUCACUUCAUUACUUUUCUGUUGAAUCUCUUUUUCAGGAAGCUAUAAUUGCUUUCCACACAAGUGCAUGUAGUGCCUCAAUUUGAACCUUAGGUCUAAGAUAAGGGCAACUACAAAUAUUUGAUUAAGGGAGUCAAUUGAACAAAAAUAUUUUCAAUAUUUGGCUCUCCUGCUAAAUGUCAUAUCACGUAGCACCAACUAUAUACUUUCUCCAGUUUGCAUAUAUUCAGGCAAAAAAAACUUUUCAAUCUCAUUUUCCACAACAUUGACAUCAUGAACAGCUGUAUUAGAUGUGGGAUAUUUACUUGCACUAACUUUCAAAGUUAUAAGAUAGAAGACCUUCAAAAAUUCCACAAACACUUCUACACCAUCCCAAUCUUCCUCUUUAGGUGGUCCAACCCUCCCUUUACUCGCCACUUCUUCUCCUUCAUCAUUAAGCACCUUUUCCCUAAAAUAGGCGGAGUAUAUAUUGGCUUCAUCAUCUUCGGACAUCCUUUCAAAUGCUUUUUUAAACUUUAAGCAAUAUUCUAGCAUCAUGUAUGUGCUAUUCCAUCUAGUAGGCACAUCCAUAACAACUAGACCCAUACUAUCCAACUUCUCAUUCUCCACAUAUUUCUUGAAAUAACUAAACCUUUGGGGACUUGAUCUCACAAACCGCACAACAUUUCUAAGAACAUCCACACUUGUAUCUAAUCUUUUCAACCAAGUUGAUAAUAUGAGCUAAGCACCUCACAUGCAUAAACUUGCCAUUCAUAAUAAUUUUACUAUUAUGCCAUUUCUGCAUUUUACGAACAAUAUACUCAAUUGCCACCUUAUUAGCCGAUGCAUUGUCAACUGAAAUACACAUUACCUUUUCAAUCUCCCACUCAACCAAACAUUGCUCAAUCAUCUUCCCUAUUUCUUUGCCUUCAUGACUUGAAAUCAAACAAAAUUUUAGAAUCAUUUUGUGCAUAUUCCAUUCAUCAUCUACAAAAUGAGCAGUUAGCACCAUGUAGUUCAAAUUUUACACACUUGUCCAUGUAUCAGUAGUCAAGCUCACUCUAUGAUUGUGUAUCUCCCUUUUUAAAUAAUCUUUCAUGGUAUCAUACAUAUUGAAUAACUCCCUCACGAUGGUUCUCCGAGAUGGAACAUGCAAUCUAAGCUGGACUUUGCACAUCAUCCGCCUAAACCCUUCACUCUCCACAACACUAAAAUGUACCUCCUCGAUCACAAUAUACUCAAUAAUACCUUCCACACUUUCUUCUUGGCUCCACCCUUUAGCAACAAGCAUGUUUUUGACAUCCCCCAAAAGGUUCAGAACUGCCUAGAACCUUUUGCAACUCAUUAGUUGGUUUAAAUAACUUGCAAUGUUUAUUGAUAUGUUCAAUGUAAGUACUAGUUCCACCCCCACUAGUAUCACAUGCAAAAAGGGUGUUACAAUAGUUACACUUAGCCUUCAAUACUUGUACCUCCACCAUAUCUUUCUUUCCAUCCUUUUCUACUUCUUGUAUUUCCGAGACGGUACACUUAGUGACAUGAUCCCAAACCCAAGAUCUCUCAGAAGAAGAUCUCUCUAGUGAAGCUAUUAUAGUUGGUUGUUUUGUCUUUAGAAUAUGUGGUGCUUUUCUUUUUCUGGAGGAUGAGGGGUUUGGGGGAGGCAUUGAUGAUUUUGCCUAUGUGGGUUGUGCUUGUGGAAGACAUGGUGAUGUAGCCGUAGAUGAUGCUACAUUAGUAGUAAGGGUACUUUGACUUUGAGAUUGAGACAUUAUGUAAAAAUCUGUAAAAAUUAAAUAAUGGAAGUAUAUUCAUUAAUCAAAUAAAGCUAUUUCGAAAUAUGUACACCAAUUUCAUGAAAUUACCACAAAAUACUAAUCAUCUCAAGAAACCAUUAAAACUUCAGAGUUCAGAUCACGAAUAAAACCAACUACUAAAUCCAUCCCCAUUAAGAGAAAGAAACUAAAUGAAACCAAAUGAAAACAAGAGAAAGACGUGCUCAAUGAAAACAAAGAGAAACCAAAUGAAAGACGUGCUAAAUAAAUCCAUCCCCAUUAAUACUCGAUAUGAAACCAAAUGAAAAUAGGAGAAAGAAACUAUAUGCUAAAAAGAGGAAGAGAGCAAUUUUGAAUCAUGCUAAAUUUGACUUACAUUAGCAAUAUUUUAAAGAAGGGGUGUGAUAUCCACACACCAUUUUUUACUUCUCUCACACCUUUUUGCUUUUUGGCCGUCGGAUCGGAUGAAUUAAAGAAGAUCAACGGACAGAAAUUAACAAGGGUGUGUGAGAAGUAAAAAUGGGUGUGUGAAUAGCACACCCCUUUAAAGAAAAACUAGUUUAAAAAAAAAGUGCAGAUAUAUUAACUAUUAAGUACUUACAUUUGUUGGGUUCCAAAGAAAAGACUAGUGCUUUCUUCCAAUCAAAAGAGUAGCCCCACUUCUCUGGUUCACUUACCUGCAGAAUGAUUAGGAAUAAUUAGGAAUAAGGAGAGAAUCAAACUAUAAGUUCACACACAUUCCCAUAUACUACAGAAACCAAAAUCAUACUAAAUUUGUUUGAGAAGACAUAAACCAAAUCAGAGGCUGUUAUGCUUCUAAAAGAACAUAUGAGCACUCCUAAUGCAAAACAACAUCAAAUGGUCCUUGAUCUGAAAGUGGCUUGUUGACAUCAAUUGUAAUGAAGAAGAUUCCUUUAUUCUUGCAAUGAAGAACAUCCCCUUACAACAAUCUGUAUUAGAGAACCUGUUUAAUGUGCUAAACCUAAAGACAAUAAGAGCACAGCCCCCAAUUACUCAGAAAUUACAAGGAAACAAGGUUGACAUCAGAGGCAACAAAGAAGUAAGCCUACAAGACUAAAAGGAAACAAACAGCCUAGCCUGCAAAGAUUCAGAGAAGUCUGGACACAAAGCCAGGAAUAAUUAGCACUUUAACCCUGCAGAUUAUGAUUGACGAGUGACAACCCAUCUUUGUUUACUUUUACUUUUGUUUGUUGGAUUAGCUAGCACUUUAACAUUCAACAGAAACUAGUAUGUAAAACUUUAAUGUGUUGUUCAUCUGCUACACAUUAGGUUAAUUAAUUUGUGUGUGGGUGUAUGAGUGUCACCCUUCAAAUUCAUGCAGUAAUUGCCAUGGCACUAGUGCCACUGCAGCUAGGCCUUGUCCUCCACCUCCAAUAUAUAUUGAAUUAAUUGCACUUUCAUCCAAGUACCCAUACAUCACUCCAUACAAAAUAAAAACAAAGACUUGUCACAAUAUCACUAAUGCCGGCUUGGUUCUUAAUGUUAUGUUGUAUUUUUAAAUCCAUUUGUAAUUAUAUCGGUCCGUGAAACAAUAAUAUAAAUUGACCAAAUUAAAAUACAGACCAUUGCCAAUGUAUUAUGAAUUAAUUGCGCUUUCAUCAUCCAACAACUCAUACAUUAUUCAAUGAAUAAAAUAAAUAUAUUAAUAAAGAGGAUAAGAUUGAAUAAUAAUAAACAACACUACGAACACGUAUGAUUGAAAGUUGUACUUUUAAACACAUUUGCAAUUUCAUCGGUAGUAUAUAGAAAGAGGGGAAACUUAGUGAACUUAAAACAUGUUUGAAUACUAAGUGAACUAAAGCAGAACAAAUCCCUAAAAAUUGCUUAAGUUCAAAUGGGUUUUCUAUCCGAAAAUCAAAUCUAAUUUCCAAAACAGAUCAAUAUAAGAACAUCUAAAAUUGAAUUGUAUCAUCAUCAACCAAAUCUACACCGGCCAUUGGUGAAACCAAACUCAUACAAUCACCAAAUCACGAACUUUUUGAGAUGCAAUCGAAACACAAAUUGACAACUGUGAACGAUAAGAACUAAGAAGAACUUGACUACAUUGAAUCUGAGAUGACAACUGAGAUUGGAACAUUAGAAAAAACAAACUAAAACUCACCAGAGACAUGGCUGUUCCAGAAAAACGUUUUGCUUAGACUUAGAUCUGAAAUAUGCAAAGCCAAAAAAAACCCAAACUUUGUUAUCAGUGAUUCAGUAUUACAGUGGAAAAAAAAAUGGUAGAUGCAAAAAGAAGAACCCUAAAUGGUGGCAACAGAUCAAUCAUCAAUCUACAAAUGCAAUUCAAAUAUAAAUGACACUGAAUUACAUGGAUUAAACAAGAAUUACAAUCCUACAAAUAAAUGACACUAAAUUUGCCAUGAAAAGUGAAGCUCCACAAUAGGUAAUAACCCAUGGAAAAUCAAAAGAGCAUGUUUGACAGAGAUGCAACUGAAAAUCUAAAACCCAAAUCACUUCCACAGAACCUGAGACCAUGCUUGCAUGCAUCAAUCAAAUCCAAAUGACACGUGGGAAGAUAGUCGACAUUGCCUCGCAUCUACGAGACCCAAAACACAACUUCCCUUCUCCCAUUUGUUCACAAGUGCUCAUAUGGUUUCUAUUCUAUUUUGCGCAAGUAAUAACCCAAAAUUUGUUAUAAGUGAUUCAGUAUUACAGUGGAAAACAAUUGGUAUAUGCGAAGAGAAAAACCCUAAAUGGUGGCAACACAUCAAUCAUCAAUCUACAAAUGCAAUUCAAAUUUUAAGAAAACCCUAAAUGGUGGCAACAGGAUUCAAUCAUCAAUCUACAAAUUCUAACUUAAAACCCCUAAAAUCCCUACACCAGAUAUUCACAAUUUCACAUUAAUAAUAAAACCUAAUUCAAAAUUACCUAAAUUUUAAAGGGAUGAUGGUUGGUAGUGGUACUGGACCACUGGUGGUAGCAGUGUUCGUCGACGGUGGUGAUGGGGUGAUGGUGGUCGCGACGGCGGAUGUGGUACCAUUGUGUUGGUAGCGACGACGCUGUGAGAGUGUGAGAGUUGAAGCUCGAUAGUGGUGAUGGGGUGAUGGGGUGAUGGUGGUUGUGACGGCGGAAGUGGUGCUGUUGUGUUGGUCCCGACGACGUUAAGCAAUGUAAGUGAGAGUCUGAGAGUUGGAGUCGAGGGAAGGGACAGGGAAUGAGUCGAGUCGAGGGAGGGAGAUAUUCUGAGAGACUGAGGGUGAUUCUAGAACUCGGGAGGUGGAAUUGGCUAAAGUAGCCCCGCUUCUCUGGUUCACUUACAUGCAUAAUGAUUAGGAAUAAUUAGGAAUAAGGAGAGAAACAAACUAUAAGUUUACACACAUUCCCGUAUACUACAUAAACCAAAGCCAUGCUAAAUUUGUCGGAGAAGACAGAAACCAAAUCAAAGGUUGUUAUGCUUCUAAAAGAACAUAUGAGCACUCACCUUAUGCAAAACAACAUCAAAUGGUCCUUGAUCUGAAUGUGGCUUGUUUACAUCAAUUGCAAUGAAGAAGAUCCCCUUAUUCCUGCAAUAAAGAAGAUCCCCUUCUAACAAUCUGUAUUAGCAAACCUGUUUAAUGUGCUAAACCUAAAGACAACAAGAGCAGAGCCCCCAAUUAUUGAGAAAUUGCAAGGAAACAAGGUCGACAGUAAAGGCAACAAAGCAGUAAGCCUACAAGACUAAAAGGAAACAAACAGCCUAGCCUGCAAAAAUUCAGAUAAGUCUGGACGCAGAGCCAAGAAUAAUUAGCACUUUAACUUUUGUUUGUGGGAUUAGCUAGCACUUUAACAUUCAACACAAACUAGUAUGAAAAACUUUAAUGUGCAGUUCAUCUGCUACACAUUAAGUUAAUUAAUCUGUGUGUGGGUGUGUGAGUGUCACCCUUCAAAUUCAUGCAGUAUGAGGGGGAAUUCCCACGGCAUUAGUGCCACUGCAGCUAGGCCUUGUCCUCCACCUCCAAUAUAUAUUGAAUUAAUUCCACCUUCAUCCAAGUACCCAUACACCACUCCAUACAAAAUAAAAACAAAGACUUGUCACAAUAUCACUAAUGCCGGCUUGGUUCUUAACGUUAUGUUGUAUUUUUAAAUCCAUUUGUAAUUAUAUCCGUCCGUGAAACAAUAAUAUAAAUUGAUCAAAUUAAAAUACAGACCAUUGCCAAUAUAUUAUGAAUUAAUUGCGCUUUCAUCAUCCAACAACUCAUACAUUAUUCCAUAAAUAAAAUAAAUAUAUUAAUAAAGAGGAGAAGAUGGAAUAAUAAUAAACAACACAACAAACACGUAUGAUUGAAAGUUGUACUUUUUAAACACAUUUACCAUUUCAUCGGUAGUAUAUAGAAAGAGGGGAAACUUAGUGAACUUAAAACAUGUUUGAAUACUAAGUGAACUAAAGCAUAACAAAUCCCUAAAAAUUGCUUAAUUUCAAAUGGGUUUUCUAUCCGAAUCAAAUCUAAUUUCCAAAACAGAUCAAUAUAAGAACAUCUAAAAUUGAAUUGUAUCAUCAUCAACCACAUCUACACCGGCCAUUGGUGAAACCAAACGCUUACAAUCACCGAAUUACGAACUUUUUGAGAUGCAAUAGAAACACAAAUUGACAACUGUGAAUGAUAAGAACUAAGAAGAACUGGACUACAUUGAAUCAGAGACGACAACUGAGAUUGGUACAUUAGAAGAAACAAACUAAAACUCACCAGAGACAUGGUUGUUCCAGAAAAACGUUUCGCUUAGACUUAAAUCUGAAAUACGCAAAGCCAAAAAAAAACCCAAACUUUGUUAUCAGUGAUUCAGUAUUACAGUGGAAAAAAAUUGGUAGAUGCGAAGAGAAUAACCCUAAAUGGUGCAACAGAUCAAUCAUCAAUCUACAAAUGCAAUUCAAAUAUAAAUGACACUGAAUUACAUGGAUUAAACAAGAAUUACAAUUUUACAAAUAUAAAUGACACUGAAUAUGCCAUGAAAAGUUAGGCUCCACAACAGGUAAUAACCCAUGGAAAUUCAAAACAAGCAUGUUCGACAAAGAUGCAACUGAAAAUCUAAAACCCGAAUCACUUCCACAGAACCUGAGACCAUGCUUGCGCGCAUCAAUCAAAUCCAAAUGACACGUGGGAAGAUAGUCGACAUUGCCUCGCAUCUACUAGACCCAAAACACAACUUCCCUUAUCCUCUUUGUUCACGAGUGCUCAUACGGUUUCUAUUCUAUUUUGCGCAGGUAAUAACCUAAAAUUUGUUAUCAGUGAUUCAGUAUUACAAUGGAAAAAAAUUGGUAGAUGCGAAGAGAAGAACCCUAAAUGGUGGCAACACAUCAAUCAUCAAUCUACAAAUGCAAUUCAAAUUUUAAGAAAACCCUAAAUGGUGGCAACAGGAUUCAAUCAUCAAUCUACAAAUUCUAACUUAAAACCCCUAAAAUCCCUACACCAGAUAUUCACAAAUUCACAUUAAUAAUAAAACCUAAUUCAAAAUUACCUAAAUUUUAGAGGGAUGAUGGUUGGUAGUGGUACUGGACCACUGGUGGUAGCAGUGUUCCUCGACGGUGGUGAUAGGGUGAUGGUGGUUGCAACGACGGAGGUGAUGCCAUUGUGUUGGUAGCGACGGCGCUGUGAGAGUCUAAGAGUUGGAGCUCGAUGGUGGCUACGACGGCGGAGGUGGUGCUGUUGUAUUGGUCCUGACGGCAUUAAACACUGUGAGUGAGAGUCUGAGAGUUGGAGUCGAGGGAAGGGACAUGGAGGGAGUCGAGUCGAGGGAAUGAGAGAUUCUGAGAGACUGAGGGUGAUUCUGGAACUCGGGAGGUGGAAUUGGCUAGGGUUGAAACUAACUGUUGAGAUUGGAUGGAGAUAUGAUAUUUUAAAUCUCGUCUGUCCAUUGUAAUUACAAACAGGCCGGUCCGGGUUCUCGCAUUUCUUAUACUUUUAGAACUGGCCCAAACUGAAAACUUCAAAGGCCAGGCCCGGCCCGCCUCGUAUCGUUCUGUUUUUACAAAAUUAGGAACUGGUCCGUACCCGCCCCGACCAGCAAUUCCUGUACCCAUUUGCCCACCCCUUUAUACAACGAUCUUGAUCUGAUUUCUUUGACAUGUUGAAUUUGCUGGUGGGGCGUUGAGAUGCGGUGAAUAUGUGACAUUACGCAAAGCUGGAGAUGCAAGCCAUAAGGUUGGUCAUAUACAGAUAUGCUAAUAGUACUAGCACCUAAAUUUUGGGCACAAUAGUUCCAUAGCAAGAGUUAUGGUUUGCGAAUGGAAAGUCUGACAAGCGUAUGUAUAAUUUGAUCUUUUGUAGGGUGGGGGUUCCGGCACCCAACGAAUUGUGAUCAAAGACCCCUUAUGUGAGGAUUGUUACAAGAUUCGGGAGUAUCUCUACUCACAAUUUUAUUUGCUUUAAGAUCAUCUCCAAUCCUUGGGGAUAAAGCUUAAAAUUUUAAGCCAUAAGUCAGAAUCUGAUUUUCCUUUACAACCCUUAUGGCUUAAAAUUUUAGAUGAUCAAAUAAUGAUUUUAGCCUAACUUUUUGUUUUUGGUAACUUUUUUUGAAAAUAAAAUUUAUGUAGAUUAUCUUAAUUUAUUUUUAUGAACAUUUUAGUCUAAAAAUAUUUAAAUUCUGAUAAGUAAUUAAAAAUCAUACAAAUACAUAGGUGUUUAUAAAGUUUUAAGUUAAAUUUGAUUUAAAUAAUUUUCUUAAUUUUGGGCCGUCAAAUCUUUUUUUUUACUAUUAGAUUUGAUCUCAUUUCAUCGUAGCAGUUAGAUUAUAAGUAAAAAAACAAAAAAAAGUUUGAAAUAUAACAAUUUGGUGGGUUCAAAAUAAUUUAAGCCAGGCUUAAAUCCCGGGAGGAAUUUAGCUUAGAGAUAUAUUUUCUCUCCCGGACUUAUUUUAACCCAUGAUUGGAAAUGGUUUGGGAGGGUUUUUAAAACUUAUAUUUUAAGCUUUAUUUCAUGAGUUGGUGAUGGUCUAAGGGGAGAGACAUAAUAUCUAACGCUUUCGGAUGAACUAACAUUUAAUCGCGAUAUUAACUUCUAGUGAUUCGAGGAAACACACUAAAGUUUAAUUUCAAUGCAGGCCUUAUUUUUGGACCCGGUUUCUCUGCCCUCCCAAUUCCCAUACACUCUCAUCUCUUCCUAUUUUGUGCAAUCACGCUUAAGCCACAUCAACAUUUUAUAUUGAUUUUUUUAUAGAGAUAAUAAGACAAAAAAUAAUAGUGAUAUAAAAUAUUAACGUGACUUAACUGUAAUCGCAUAAAUAGGAGGAGACGAGAGCGUAUAGGGCUAGGAGGGCAGUGUCAUGGUCAGACAUUUUAAGUGAAAGUGACAAUAUGUGCAGCUGAGUCAAUGCAUUGGAAACCUGGUUCCUCAUCAAUAUGCUUAUAAAGUAUGGAAACUAAUAAUUGUUGAGCAAACGCAGUUGCUCUUUGUCUGAUUGCUUACGAUUCACCAUGGAAACCUGGUUCCUUAUCCUCAUCGCCCUCUGCGUCUCCUUCCUCCUCAAACCCCUUCUCUCUCUAUUCCUACCCACUUCCAUCUCCAGACCCAAUCUCCCUCCCGGGCCUCGCUUCUUCCACAUCAUCGAAGGCUUCUUAUUCCUCCUCAAAUCUUCCUUGGAGCUCGAGCCUAUUAUCCGCAAACUCCAGGCCGAAUACGGGCCCAUCAUCUCCCUCCCCAUCGGCUCCCGCUCUACCGUCUUCGUCGCCGAUCGCUCCCUCGCCCACCAGGCCUUAAUCCAGAACGGAGCCGUGUUCGCCGACCGCCCCCUGGCCUUGGCCACCAACAAGUGCGUCAGCAGCAACCAGCACACUAUCGGCUCCGCCGUCUACGGCCCCUUGUGGCGCCUCCUACGCCGCAACCUCACCUCUGAAAUCCUUCACCCUUCCCGCGUCAAAUCCUACGGCAACGCCCGCAAAUGGGUUCUCGACAUCCUCGUCAACCGCCUCAAAACCGAGUCUCAAUCCCACUCCGAAGCUGCCGCCACCGGAGUCAGGGUGGUCGACCACUUCCAAUACGCCAUGUUCUGCCUCCUGGUUCUGAUGUGCUUCGGCGACAAAUUGAACGAAGAGCAAAUCAAAGAAAUCAAGCGCGUGCAGCGCCAACUACUUUUGAGUUUCGGGCGGUUCAAUAUCCUCAAUUUCAAGCCGAAAUUGACGAAGAUUAUCUUCAAAAAUCGGUGGCGGCAAUUAUUUAAAAUCCUCGAGGAACGACGAGAAGUGCUCCUCCCUCUGAUUCGAGCACGACAAAAUAGGGCAAAGCAGGGCAGCAAAACCGACGACAAAGAUGAUGAAUUUGUGUUGUCGUAUACAGAUACGCUGCUGGACCUCGAGCUUCCCGACGGCAACGAAAAGCGGAAGCUUUCGGAGGGAGAAAUGGUCAGCCAAUGCUCAGAGUUUCUGGAUGCCGGCACCGACACGACUUCCACCGCGCUGCAGUGGAUCAUGGCCAACGUAGUGAAGUACCCGCAAGUUCAGGAGAAGCUGUUUGCCGAGAUUAAAGGGGUGAUGGGAGAAACGGAGGACGAGGUGCGGGAGGAGGUCCUGCACAAGCUGCCGUAUCUGAAAGCCGUGAUCUUGGAGGGGCUGAGGCGCCACCCGCCGGCGCACUUUGUGCCGCGCGCGGUGACGCAUGACGUGGAUUUGGGCGGACACGUGGUGCCCAAGAACGGGAGUGUUAGUUUCAUGCUGGCGAGUAUAGGGUGGGACCCGCAAGUGUGGGAGGACCCCAUGGCGUUCAAGCCGGAGAGGUUCUUGGGCAGCAGUGGAGGAGAAGAAGGGUUCGAUUUGAGGGGGAGCAGGGAGAUUAAGAUGAUGCCGUUUGGGGCAGGGAGGAGGAUCUGUCCAGGGUCGGGAUUGGCGGUGCUUCACCUGGAGUACUUUGUGGCGAAUUUGGUGUGGAAAUUUGAGUGGAGAACUGUGGAGGGAGAUGACGUGGACCUGUCAGAGAAGCAGGAGUUUACUAUAGUGAUGAAGAAUCCAUUGCAUGCCCACGUAAUCCCUAGAAUUUAAUACGUGUGAGAAUUCUGUACUAAUUAUUCGGUGCAUAUUCAACCGUUGAAUCUAUCCAUGUAUGCUUUUCAUUGAUUAUGUAAUUUUGAAAAUUUAGAUUUUUAGUUUACUAGUCUGAUUCAAGACGGAUUUUAUAACUUCAAUAUUUAGAGAGUGAUUUGAGUGAGCUGUAUUUGCUACUUUUUAGCUUAUAACUAAUACAACUUUCAAAUCUUGGGAAGACAACUUCUGCAUUUAGAGACUGCCCAAGAGCAAGGAGCAUUUGAGAAAUUGAUGGGAUUGCCUACAUAGGUACAACUCUCCUUUAAUCUUUGUGUUACAGCUUGUCUAAUGACUAAUUCGAAAUCCAAGUUACCGUGGUUUGAACAAAUUCGAUGGAGUAGUGUUUUUAUUUUUACCUUCGUAUAUAUGGAAAUGAAAGAAUAAACAACUCUUUGAAGACAACUUCUUUCCGACAAAGGUGUUCAAUUACCAUUUCCGUUCAUUGCUUAAUUUGUUAGACUAUGCUUCGUCCCUAAAAUUCGUCAUCUGAAGUAAUCUCAAGUUUUCAACAUCAUGUUUUGAGCCCCAGAGAUAAGGUUAAGCUCUAUGGAACUACUAUAUUUACAGCGAUCUCGAUCUGAUAUGCUAAGGGUGCGUUUGUUGCGCCGGACUGUCUCGGAUUGGACUAGCUGCCGGGACUAAGCUGGACUGGCUUAGACUGGACUAAGCUGGACUAACUUAGUGAAGCGUUUGGUGUAAUGUCGGACUAAGAAGCAGGAUAAGAAAAACAGUACUGUUCACCAGAUUUGUGUUUGCUUAGACUAGGAUUACAAAUUUUUGCCAUUGUGUAAUAGAGUAAUGCUACAAAUCUCAUGAUAUGGGUUAAUUGGAGCAUAUUUUUGCCAUGUAUAUUAUGAAUCUUAAAAAAAAAUUGACAAUUGUUUUGUUUCUAUUACCUGCUAAUAGAAUUGGGUUUAAUUUGCAAAUGUAGCUUGGUUUAAACUCUAUCACCCAACAGAAGAAAAAUAAUAGUGCCCAAUACAUGCAACUUCAACAAAUACAAGUACAUAAGAAGAUCUCCAUAAUUUAGAAAAUCCUAGUUAACAUUAGCCAAAAUAGAUCUCCAUAAUUUACAAAAUGGCUAGUUAACAUAAGCCAAAAUACUAGUGCAAAGCUAAGUUAUAAGCCAUAACAUAAGAUUGUAUGAUUAAUAAAAUACAUCCAUGUUAACAUUAAUAAAAUACAUCCAUGUUAACAUUAGCCAAAAUCCUCAUCCGCUUGCGUUGUCGCUUAAAAGCCUUUGGACGAACACUUUCUUGAGUUCCGGUUUGAUUGCCCUGAACACUCCCACAUUUUUUGGUUUAUCCAAAAUAAGAGACAAUGCAUCAAUUUGAUCCAUAGGAGAGAGACCCAUUGCUUCAAGUUCAUUAGCUAUGUCAGUAUGAUCUGCAGUACCUUGAACUAAAGCUUCAGUUACCAUUUGCAUCCUCUUCCCACUUUCAACAUAAAAAUCUUUCAGUCCACUGAUAAUUGCCUCGGUUCCAUCACUUGAACUUCCCACAGCUCUUUUCCUCUUUCUUUGGCUAUUUUCAGAUGGGGUGCUUUGUUGGCUUUUGUUGGUUCAUUGAAGAAACAAAAUUUUCACCUCCAAUAUCACUUUCACCAACAUGAUCAUAACUUUGUUCCUCCACCAUUUGAGCAGGGGUUUCGGCUACAUUACCCGUAGCCCGAUCUUUUCCAAAUAUAUAUGCAAAUCUAUCAAACAGUGGAAAAGGUUUGCUUCUCCAUCCAUCGGCUUCUUUAUUUCUCUAAGAUUAUAUCAACAUAGCAAAACUAAAAUUUAGCAUGCGUAACAAAUAUAGCAGCAAUAAUAUAACUAAUGUAUAAAUAAAAUAGGAUAUGAACCUGCACAUAAGUUUGCCAUGAGUCAUCACUGUCAACUUCAACGCACUUUUUGACAUCAUUCCAUGCAAAUCCACUUGUGUUUAUCAUGUCAACGACCAUACUAUAUGUUUUUUUUUCCAUUUCUUCAACUUGGACUCAAUAUGUAGAUUUGCCUUUAUAUUUGAAUGAGGACAUAAAACAUUGACAGCUUUUGCUAUUUCAACCAAAGUACCUUGUUUGAAAGCACCGGUGUCACACCGUUGCUUCCGAGCAACAAAAUCCUCAAGAACUCCUAGUAAUACUUCUUCCUCAAAUGCUUCCCAUUUACGCCUUCUUCCUUUUGGCUCUUGAGUAGCAUUCAAAAUAUUUUCGUUAUCCAUACCUAAACAAAAAAUAUUUUAAUGAAGGAAAAUACCAUACAAAUAAUCAAUCUGCAUAAUAUCCAAUCAACUUACAUAAUAUCCAAUCAACUUGCAUAAUAUCCAAUUAAUUUGCAUACCAUCCAAUCAUUGUGCUAAUAUCUAACAAAUGCAUGAUAAAAAGGAAUACUAAAAUAAAAUGUUAUCAUUAACACAUAUAGCUAGUUCGGUUGCUGGUUCCUAAUUGCUCUCCACUCGUUAUACAUUUCCUGAGCCAUAUCAUUCCUCUUUGCAGUCCACUGGUCAGAUGUUUGAACACUACCAACAUAUUCACCUUCUUCUGUAUUUUGUCCAUCUUCUAUUAUUGGCAAAUUCUCCAUUGGAUCUACAGACAUCUCUUGCCUAAUAAGAUUGUGUAGUAGGCAACAAGCGGUAAUUAUUCGACCUUGUGUCCUUAUCGGAUAGAAAGAUGGACUCCUUAGUAUCGACCACCUUCCUUUUAGCAAGCCAAAACAGCGUUCAAUUACAUUCCUUGCCUUAGAAUGAUUCAUGUUAAAAUAUUCUUCCUUAUUAGAAGGUGUUCGUCCCUCCCAUUCAGAUAAAUGAUAAGGUAUUCCUCUAUAGGGUGCAAGGAAUCCUUCACCAUUUGUAUAACCACCAUCUACAAGGUAAUAAUAACCUAAUGAAAAAAAAAACAGACCUUAUUAGUGUUUUGUAGUUGACAAACAGAACUAGACCUAACUUACAAAGUUGAGACUAAGUAAUAGUCUUACCCGCUGGUACCUUAAAACCAUUAGGCAUAGUAAUUGCAUCAUGUAGCACUCUAGAGUCUGAUGCGGAACCCUCCCACCCCAGAAACACAUAUAUGAACUGCAUAUCUCCUGAACACACACCUAACACAUUAGUUGCGACUCGACCCUUUCUUGUUCGGUAUCUUGGUUUGUCAAUUUCAGGUACAUGCACAUCAAUGUGUGUUCCAUCCAAUGCUCCCAAACAAUUCUUAAAAAAAAAAAAAAAAAAAAAAAGUUUUUGUUAAUUUAUACAAAGGGAAUGAAGAGUUAAAGCUUAGGGAAAAUGAAAAAAAAUUCUCAUCAUACCUUAAAACAUCGCCACCUAGGAUCUGUAGAAUCAAUAGGCACAGGCUGUGGGACUUUCAGUAGGAUACCUUGUAAUCGCAAAAUUCCUUGCAAUACGCUAUUAAAAUACCUACUUAUAGUCUCUCCCGACCUAUAAAAUCUACCGCCAACACUACGAUUCUUAGUAUGAUGUGCUAAUAUUUGUAAAGUCAUACACACCUGCUCCUCUACAGACACCAAACCAUCAGUUUUUACCCUCACAUCUUGACGAAGUAAGUCACAUAAUAUGUCAAAAGUCCUUCUAUCCAUUCUCAAUUCGUUGACACAUUCAGUAUCAGUAUUCCCUAUUAUACCAUUCAGAUAACACAAACUAAUCUCUCGUCUAAUAAGUGAACGGUUAGUCAAUGUGGGUCGUUCAACAUGUCUCUGUUUGCCACGUAGCAUCAUCAACACAAGAAUCGUACAAAUGCAAAUUGUCUCCAAAUAAGACAUCUCUAACAAUAAGAUCAAUAAAAGCUUCCUUCGAUCCAUAUCUAUCCAAACAAAAAAAAAAACAAAAAACAAAUUAAGGACAUUAUAUAUGUAAUAUUUACUGUUAUUAAGGGUGAUGGAAAUGAAGUGAUUAUGAUACGAAAUGAACUAGAUCAAAGUAACUAGCGAAGUCACAAUCCGAGGCAUCAAAUAUACGGGUGGUGUUGGAAAAAAAAAGCUAUCAUUAACCCGAGGCAACAAAUAUACAGGUGGCGUUGAAAAAAAAAAUUAUCAUUAACCCGAGGCAACAAAUAUACAGGUGGCGUUGAAAAAAAAAAAGUUAUCAUUAACCCGAAGCAUCAUAUUCAAAAUGUUCUACUCUUAUACAUCUAUAAACAUGUGUCUAAGAACACUAGUAUGAGGAUUGCUAUCAUUGCUAGGCAUUGCAUAUGAAGAGGGAAAUUAAAGGACACCUGUAAUGCAGUAGCCUUAGCCUUAGCCUUCUGUUUAUGCUCCUCUUCUCUGCAACCAACAACCACAAAAAAUUGCAAUUCAGCAUCAACCCCACACAAUACAAAACAUUCACAUUGUAAUAUCAUGGUUAUAAACCAAGUACACACACACACACUCAUGGACAAAUGUGCAAAAUACACAUACAUACUCACACUCACACUCACACUAACACACACACACGAACAUACACACUCUCACACACGGACAUACACUCACACACACUCAUGGACAAAUGUGCAAAAUACACAUACAUACUCACACUCACACUCACACUAACACACACACAUGGACAUACACACUCUCACACACGGACAUACACUCACACACACCCUGCAUACAUACAUACACACACACACACACACACUGCAUACAUACAUACACACACACACACACACUGCAUAUAUACAUACACACACACACACAUACUCACACUGCAUACACACACACACACACACUGCAUACAUAGACACACACACACACUGCAUACAUACACACACACACACACACACACACACACACACACUGCAUACAUACACACACACACACACGGCAUACAUACACACACACACACACACACUGCAUACAUACACACACACACACACACUGCAUACAUACACACACACACACACUGCAUACACACACACACUGCAUACACACACACAAACAUACUCACACGGACAUACACACUCUUACACACGGACAUACACUCACACACACCCUGCAUACAUACAUACAUACACACACACACACACUGCAUACAUACAUACACACACACACACUGCAUACAUAGACACACACACACACACUGCAUACAUAGACACACACACACACUGUAUACACACACACACACACACUGCAUACAUACACACACACACACACACACUGCAUACAUACACACACACACACACACGGCAUACAUACACACACACACACACACACUGCAUACAUACACACACACACACACACGGCAUACAUACACACACACACACACACACACACUGCAUACAUACACACACACACACACUGCAUACAUACACACACACACACACACUGCAUACAUACACACACACACACUGCAUACAUACACACACACACACACACUGCAUACAUACACACACACACACACACUGCAUACAUACAUACACACACACACACACACACGGCAUACAUACACACACACACACACUGGUCAGCUGCACACACUGCACUCACACAGACAUACACACUCUCACACACGGACAUACACUCACACACACACUGCAUACAUACACACACACACACACACUGCAUACAUACACACACACACACACACUGCAUACAUACACACACACACACACACUGCAUACACACACACACACACACACACACACUGCAUACAUAGACACACACACACACUGCAUACAUACACACACACACACAUUGCAUACAUACAUACACACACACGGCAUACAUACACACACACACACUGCAUACACACACACACACAUACACUGCAUACAUAGACACACACAUACACUGCAUACAUACACACACACACACACUGCAUACAUACACACACACACACACACACUGCAUACAUUCACACACACACACACACACGGCAUACAUACACACACACACACACUGCAUACAUACACACACACACACACACUGCAUACAUACACACACACACACACACACACACACACACACACACACACACACACACUGCAUACAUACACACACACACAUUGCAUACAUACACACACACACACACUGCAUACAUACACACACACACACACUGCAUACACACACACACUGCAUACACACUCACACACAUACACACUCUCACACACGGACAUACACUCUCACACACUGACAUACACUCACACCCUGCAUACAUACACACACACACUGCAUACACACACACACACUGCAUACACACACACACACACACUGCAUACACACUCACACACAUACUCACACGGACAUACACACUCUCACACACGGACAUACACUCACACACACCCUGCAUACAUACAUACAUACACACACACACACACUGCAUACAUACAUACAUACACACACACACACUGCAUACAUACACACACACACACACACACAGAUUACACACACACACACAGAGUAUACACAAACAGAGAUUACACGCACACAUAGAGUAUACACACACACACAGACAAACCAGAGUACACACACACAUAGUAUACACACACAUGCACACACACACAGACACACACAGAGAUUACACACACAGAUUCUAAUCUCAAUUUGACCUAAAAAUUGAUUUUGAAGUUUACCAGAAAAGUUGAAAUACGAAAACCCCAAAUUCUAAUCUGAAUUUGAACUAAAAAUAUGAAAACCCCAAAUUCUAAUCUCAAUUCGACGAAAUCAAUCGAAGAUUUGAAGCUUACCAGACUGUCUCCGACCAGAUGAGGGCGAGAAUACGCAGAGAUGAGGGUGAGGAUGACGACGACGAGGAAGCAGGGCAAGGUCGACGACGAGCGACGAGCAGGACGAAGGACGUUGGGGAUCCUCGCAGAGAUGAGGACGAGCAGGACGUUGGGGAUCCUCGCGGUUUUCUCUCCGAGCUUACGAGUCCGCCCAAAAUUGGGGUUCUUCGUUAAGAACUCGUAAUGAGGCGUGUAAUCCGAGCGAGUCCCACCUAAGCCCAUUAAAGCUAAUCCGGUUGCACACCAAACACAGGACUAUAGUCUAGUCCAGUCCAAGCCUUGCUAAUCCUGUCAAACAAACGUGCCCUAAUAGUAUUAGCACCCAAGUUUUUGGUACAACAGUUGCAUUUUUGCAGAUCGAAAAUAUGACUAGCGUAUUUAUAUUUUUUAUCUUUUUUGUAGGGUGGUGGUUUUGGCACCCAACAAAUUGUGAUCGAAUGCCCCUUAUGCGAGGAUUAUUACAAGAUUCGGGAGCAUCUCCACUCACAAUUUUAUUUGCUUUAAGUAGAGAUACAUAAUAUCAAACGCCUUCGGAUGAACUGUCAUUUAGUCGCGAUGUUAAUUUAUAGUGAUUUCACAACACUAAAAGGUACCUCCUCGAUCACAAUAUACUCAACAAUACCUUCCACACUUUCUUCUAGGCUCCACCCUUUAGCAACAAGCUUGUUUUUGACAUCCUCAAAAGGUCCAGAACUGCCUAGAACCUUUGGCAACUCAUCAGUUGGUUUAUAUGACUUGCAAUGUUUAUUGAUAUGUUUAAUGUAAGCACUAGUUCCACCCCCCACUAGUAACACAUGAAAAAAGGGCAUUACAAUGGUUACACUUAGCCUUCCAUACUUGUACCUCCACCAUCUCUUUCUUUCCAUCUUUUUCUACUUCAUGUAUUUUCGAGACGGUACACUUAGUGACAUGAUCCCAAACCCAAGAUCUCUCAGAAGAAGAUCUCUCUAGUGAAGCUAUUAUAGUUUGUUGUCUUGUCUUUGGAAUAAGUGGUGCUUUUCUUUUUUUUUGGAGGAUGAGGGGUUUUGGGGAGGUAUUGAUGAUUUUGCCUGUGUGGGUUGUGCUUGUGUUGGUUGUGGAGGACAUGGUGAUGUAGCCAUAGAUGAUGCUACAUUAGUACUAGGGGUACUUUAACUUUGAGAUCGAGACAAUAUGUAAAAAUUUGUAAAAAUUAAAUAAUGGAAGUAUAUUCAUUAAUCAAAUAAAGAUAUUUUGAAAUAUGCACACCAAUUUCAUGAAAUUACCACAAAAUACUAAUCAUCUUAAGAAACCAUUAAAACUUUAGAGUUCAGAUCACGAAUAAAACCAACUACUAAAUCCAUCCCCAUUAAGAGAAAGAAACUAAAUAAAACCAAAUGAAAACAAGAGAAAGACGUGCUAAAUGAAAACAAAGAGAAACCAAAUGUAAGACGUGCUAAAUAAAUCCAUCCCCAUUAAUACUCGAUAUGAAACCAAAUGAAAAUAGGAGAAAGAAACUAUAUGCUAAAAAGAGGGAUAGAGCAAUUUUGAAUCAUGCUAAAUUUGACUUACAUUAGCAAUAUUCAAAGAAAAACUAGUUAAAAGAAAAACGUGCGGAUCUAUUAACUAUUAAGUACUUACAUUUAUUGGGUUCCAAAGAAGAAGACUAGUACUUUCUUCCAAUCAACAGAGUAGCCCCACUUCUCUGGUACACUUACCUGCAGAAUGAUUAGGAAUAAUUAGGAAUAAAGAGAUAAUCAAACUAUAAGUUUACACACAUUCUUGUAUACUACAGAAACCAAAACCAUGCUAAAUUUGUCUGAGAAGACAAAAACCAAAUCAGAGGCUGUUAUGCUUCUAAAAGAACAUAUGAGCAGUCACCUUAUGCAAAACAACAUCAAAGGGUCCUUGAUCUGAAAGUGGCUUGUUUACAUCAAUUGCAAUGAAGAAGAUCCCCUUAUUCCUGCAAUGAAGAAGAUCCCCUUACAACAAUCUGCAUUAACAAACCGGUUUAAUGUGCUAAACCUAAGGACAACAAGAGUAGAGCCCCAAAUUACUGAGAAAUUGCAAGGAAACAAGGUCGACAACAGAGGCAACAAAGCAGUAAACCUACAAGACUAAAAGGAAACAAACAGCCUAGCCUGCAAAGAUUCAGAGAAGUCUGGGCGCAGAGCCAGGAAUAAUUAGCACUUUAACCCUGCAAAUUAUGAUUGACGAGUGACAACCCAUCUUUGUUUACUUUUACUUUUGUUUGUUGGAGUAGCUAGCACUUUAACAUUCAACAGAAACUAGUAUGUAAAACUUUAAUGUGCUGUUCGUCUGCUACACAUUAAGUUAAUUUAUCUAUGCGUGGGUGUGUGAGUGUCACCCUUCAAAUUCAUGCAGUAUGAGGGGGAAUUCCCAUGGCCCUAGUGCCACUGCGGCUAGGCCUUGUCCUCCACCUCCAAUAUAUAUUGAAUUAAUUGCACUUUCAUCCUAGUACCCAUACACCACUCCAUACAAAAUAAAAAUAAAGACUUGUCACAAUAUCACUAAUGCCGGCUUGGUUCUUAACGUUAUGUUGUAUUUUUAAAUCCAUUUGUAAUUAUAUCGGUCCGUGAAACAAUAAUAUAAAUUGAUCAAAUUAAAAUACAAACCAUUGCCAAUAUAUUAUGAAUUAAUUGCGCUUUCAUCAUCCAACAACUCAUACAUUAUUCCAUGAAUAAAAUAAAUAUAUUAAUAAAGAGGAGAAGAUGGAAUAAUAAUAAACAACACAACGAACACGUAUGAUUAAAAGUUGUACUUUUUAAACACAUUUGUAAUUUCAUCGGUAGUAUAUAGAAAGAGGGGAAACUUAGUGAACUUAAAACAGGUUUGAAUACUAAGUGAACUAAAGCAGAACAAAUCCCUAAAAAUUGCUUAAGUUCAAAUGAGUUUUCUAUCCGAAAAUAAAAUCUAAUUUCCAAAACAUAUCAAUAUAAGAACAUCUAAAAUUGAAUUGUAUCAUCUUCAACCAAAUCUACAUCGGCCGUUUGUGAAACCAAAUGCAUACAAUCACCGAAUUACGAACUUUUUGAGAUGCAAUCGAAACACAAAUUGACAACUGUGAAUGAUAAGAACUAAGAAGAACUAGACUACAUUGAAUCAAAGACGACAACUGAGAGUGGAAACGUUUCGCUCAGACUUAGAUCUGAAAUAUGCAAAGCAAAGAAAAACCCAAACCUUGUUAUUAGUGAUUCAAUAUUAGAGUGGAAAAAAAUUGGUAGAUGCGAAGGGAAGAACCCUAAAUGGUGGCAAUAGAUCAAUCAUCAAUCUACAAAUGCAAUUCAAAUAAAAAUGACACUGAAUUACAUGGAUUAAACAAGAAUUACAAUCUUAUAAAUAUAAAUGACAAUGAAUGUGCCAUGAAAAGUGAAGCUCCACAACUGGUAAUAACGCAUGGAAAAUCAAAAUAAGCAUGUUCGACAUAGAUGCAACUGAAAAUCUAAAACCUGAAUCACUUCCAUAGAACCUAAGACCAUGCUUGCAUGCAUCAAUCAAAUCCAAAUGACACGUGGGAAGAUAGUCGACAUUGCCUCGCAUCUACUAGAACCAAAACACAACUUCCCUUCUCCCCUUUGUUCACGAGUGCUCAUACGGUUUCUAUUCUAUUUUGCACAGGUAAUAACCCAAAAUUUGUUAUCAAUGGUUCAAUAUUACAGUGGAAAAAAAUUGGUUGAUGCAAAGAGAAGAACCUUAAAUUGUGGCAACAGAUCAAUCAUCAAUCUACAAAUGCAAUUCAAAUUUUAAGAAAACCCUAAAUGGUGGCAAUAUGAUUCAAUCAUCAAUCUACAAAUUCUAACUUAAAAAGGUCGUACCCAGUGCACAAGGCUCCCGCUUUACGCAGGGUCUGGGAGAGGUGAAUGUCGGCUAGCCUUACCCCCAUUUUAUGGAGAGGCUGCUCCCAAGUCUCGAACCCGAGACCUACCGCUCAUGGGCGAAGGCACUUGCCAUCGCACCAAGUGCGACCUCUUCUACAAAUUCUAACUUAAAACCCCUAAAAUCCCUACACCAGAUAUUCACAAUUUCGCAUUAAUAAUAAAUCCUAAUUCAAAAUUACCUACAUUUUAGAGGGAUGAUGGUUGGUAGUGGUAUUGGACCACUGGUGGUAGCGGUAUUGAACCACUGGUGGUAGCAGUGUUCCUCGACGGUGGUGAUGGGAUGAUGAUGGUCGCGAUGGCGGAGGUGGUGCCGUUGUGUUGGUAGCGACGAAGCUGUGAAAGUCUGAAAGUUGGAGCUCAAUGGUGGUGAUGGGGUGAUGGUGGUCGCGACGGUGGAGGUGGUGCUGUUGUGUUAGUCCCAACGUCGUUAAGCACUGUGAGUUAGAGUCUGAGAGUUGGAGUUAAGGGAAAGGACAAGGAGGGAGUCGAGUCGAGGGAGGGAGAGAUUCUGAAAGACUGAGGGUUGUUUUGGAACUCGGGAGGUGGAAUUGGCUAGAGUAGCCCCACUUCUCUGGUUCAUUUACCUACAGAAUGAUUAGGAAUAAUUAGGAACAAUGAGAGAAACAAACUAUAAGUUUACACACAUUCCCGUAUACUACAAAAACCAAAACCAUGCUAAAUUUGUCUUAGAAGACAAAAACCAAAUCAAAGGCUUUUAUGCUUCUAAAAGAACAUAUGAGCACCCACCUUAUGCAAAACAACAUCAAAGGGUCCUUGACCUAAAAGUGGCUUGUCUACAUCAAUUGCAAUGAAAAAGAUCCCCUUAUUCCUGCAAUGAAGAAGAUCCCCUUACAACAAUCUGUAUUAGCAAACCUGUUUAAUGUGCUAAACCUAAAGACAACAAGAGCAGAGCCCCCAAUUACUGAGAAAUUGCAAGGAAACAAGGUCGACAGUAGAGGCAACAAAGCAGUAAGCCUACAAGACUAAAAGGAAACAAAUAGCCUAGCCUGCAAAGAUUUAAAGAAGUCUGGGCGCAGAGUUAGGAAUAAUUAGCACUUUAACCCUACGGAUUAUGAUUGACAAGUGACGACCCAUCUUUGUUUACUUUUACUUUUUUUUGUUGGAUUAGCUAGCACUUUAACAUUCAACAGAAACUAGUAUGUAAAAUUUUAAUGUGCUGCUUAUCUGCUACACAUUAAGUUAAUUAAUCUAUGCGUGGGUGUGUGAGUGUCACCCUUCAAAUUCAUGCAGUAUAAGGGGGGAAUUCCCAUGGCACUAGUGCCACCGUAGCUAGGCCUUGUCCUCCCCCUCCAAUAUAUAUUGAAUUAAUUGCACCUUCAUCCAAGUACCCAUACACCACUCCAUACAAAAUAAAAACAAAGACUUGUCACAAAUAUCACCAAUGCCGGCUUGGUUCUUAACGUUAUGUUGUAUUUUUAAAUCCAAUUGUAAUUAUAUCGGUCCGUGAAACAAUAAUAUAAAUUGAUCAAAUUAAAAUACAGACCAUUGUCAAUGUAUUAUGAAUUAAUUGCGCUUUCAUCAUCCAACAACUCAUACAUUAUUCAAUGAAUAAAAUAAAUAUAUUAAUAAAGAGGAGAAUAUGGAAUAAUAAUAAACAACACAACGAACACGUAUGAUUGAAGGUUGUACUUUUUAAACAUAUUUGCAAUUUCAUCGAUAGUAUAUAGAAAGAGGGGAAACUUAGUGAACUUAAUUUUGGGCCGUCAAAUCUGUUUUUACUAAUAUAUUUGAUCUCAUUUGAUCGUAGCCGUUAGAUUAUAAGUAAAAAAACAAAAAAAAAGUUUGAAAUAUGAUAAUUUAGUGGGUUCAGAAUAAUUUAAGCCAAGCUUAAAUCCUGGGAGGAAUCUAGCUGAGAAAUAUAUUUUCUCUCCCAGGCUUAUUUUAGCCCAUGAUUGGAGAUGGUUUGGGAGUGUUUUAAAACAUAUAUUUUAAGUUUUAUUUCAUGAGUUGGUGAUGGUCUAAGGGGAGAGACAUAAUAUCUAGGAUUUGGAUUCUCUCAUGAGCUAAUGGAGAGGAUCCUCCUGACCAACAUAUGUGGACCGUUGGAUGAAAAUUCAACGGCUACAAACAGAAUGUUCUUUUAAAGUUAUAAUAAUUAUAGCCGUUGAAUUUUCAUCUAACGGUCCAUAUACGUUGCUUAGGAGGAUCCUCUCCUUAAGCUCAGGAGAGGAUCCAAAUCCUAAUAUCUAACGCUUUCGGAUAAACCGACAUUUAAUCACGAUAUUAACUUCUAGUGAUUCGAGGAAACAUACUAAAGCUUAAUUUCAGUGCCGGCCUUAUUUUUGGACCCAGCUUCUCUGCCCUUCCAGUUCUCAUACACUCCCAUCCCCUCCUAUUUUGUUUCGUGCGGUCACGAUUAAUCCACGUCAAUAUUUUAUAUUGAUCUUUUUAUAGAGAUAAUAAGACAAAAAGUAAUAGUGAUAUAAAAUGUUAACAUAGUUUAACUGUUAUCGCAAAAAUAAGAGGAGAUAAGAGUGUAUGAAAACUAGGAAUGCAGAGAAGCCAGGUCCCUUAUAUUUUGUCGAACUUGUCAUGGUCAGACAUUUUAAGUGAAAGUGACAAUAUGUGCAGCUGAGUCAAUGCGGUCGAAACCUGGUUCCUUAUCAAUCUCCUUACAAAGUAUCGAAACUAAUAAUUAUUGAGCAAACGCAAUUGCCCUUUUGUCUGAUUGCCGACGGUUGACCAUGGAAACCUGGUUCCUGAUCCUCAUCGCCUUCUGCGUCUCCUUCCUCCUCAAACCCCUUCUUUCCCUAUUCCUACCCACUUCCAUCUCCAAACCCAAGCUCCCUCCUGGGCCCCGCGUCUUCCCCGUCAUCGGCGGCUUCUUAUUCCUCCUCAAAUCCUUCUCGGAGCUCGAGCCUAUCAUCCGCAAACUCAAGGCCAAACACGGGCCCAUUAUCUCCCUCCGCAUCGGCUCCCGCCCGGCCGUCUUCAUCGCCGACCGCUCCCUCGCCCACCAGGCCUUAAUCCAGAACGGCGCCGUGUUCGCCGACCGCCCCCGGGCCUCGGCCACCAACAAGUACUCCAGCAGCAACCAGCACAACAUCAGCUCCGCCAUCUACGGCCCCACUUGGCGCCUCCUCCGCCGCAACCUCACCUCCGAAAUCCUUCACCCUUCCCGGGUCAAAUCCUACGGCAACGCCCGCAAAUGGGUUCUCGACAUCCUCGUCAACCGCCUCAAAACCAAGUCUCAAUCCCACUCCGAAGGCGCCAGCGCCGGCGUCAGGGUGGUCGACCACUUCCAAUACGCCAUGUUCUGCCUCCUGGUUCUGAUGUGCUUCGGUGACAAAUUGAACGAAGAGCAAAUCAAAGAAAUCGAGCGGGUGCAGCGCCAAUUUCUUUUGAGUUCCGGGCGGUUCAAUAUCCUCAAUUUCACCCCUAAAUUGACGAAGAUUAUCUUCAAAAAUCGGUGGCGGCAAUUCUUCAAAAUCCUCGAGGAACGACGAGAAGUGCUCGUCCCUCUGAUUCGAGCAAGACAAAACAAGGCAAAGCAGGGCAGCAAAAACGACGACAAUGACGAUGAAUUUGUGUUGUCGUAUACUGAUACGCUGCUGGACCUCGAGCUUCCCGACGGAAACAAAAAGCGGAAGCUUUCGGAGGGAGAAAUGGUCAGCCUCUGCUCAGAGUUUCUGAACGGCGGCACCGACACGACUUCCACCGCGCUGCAGUGGAUCAUGGCCAACGUAGUGAAGUACCCGCAAGUUCAGGAGAAGCUGUUUGCGGAGAUUAAAGGGGUUAUGGGAGAAACGGAGGACGAGCUGCGGGAGGAGGUCCUGCACAAGCUGCCGUAUCUGAAAGCCGUGAUCUUGGAGGGGCUGAGGCGCCACCCGCCGGGCCACUUUGUGCUGCCGCACGCGGUGACGCAUGACGUGGUUUUGGGCGGACACGUGGUGCCCAAGAACGGGAGUGUUAAUUUCAUGGUGGCGGAUAUAGGCUGGGACCCUCAAGUGUGGGAAGAUCCCAUGGCGUUCAAGCCGGAGAGGUUCUUGAGCAGCGGCGGAGGAGAAGAAGGGUUCGAUUUGACGGGGAGCAGGGAGAUUAAGAUGAUGCCGUUUGGGGCAGGGAGGAGAAUCUGUCCUGCGUCGGGAUUGGCGGUGCUUCACCUGGAGUACUUUGUGGCGAAUUUGGUGUGGAAAUUUGAGUGGAGAGCUGUGGAGGGAGAUGACGUGGACCUGUCGGAGAAGCAGGAGUCUACUGUGGUGAUGAAGAAUCCAUUGCAAGCCCACGUAAUCCCUAGAAUUUAAUGCGUGGGAGAAUUCUGUAAUAAUUUUUCGAUAUACUUUGAACUGUCAAAUCCAUCAAUGUAUGCUCUUCAUUGAUUAUGCAAUUUCGAAAAUUUGGAAUUUUAGUUUACUAGUGUGAUACAAGACAGAUUUUAUAACUUCAAUAUUUAGUGAGUGAUUUGAGUGAGCUGUACUUGCUACUUUUUAGCUUAUAACUAAUACAACUUUCCAAUCUUGGAAGACAUCUUCUGUAUUUAGAGAUUGCCCAAUAGCAAGGAGCAUUUGAGAAUUUGAUGGGAAUGCCUACAUAGUUACAACUCUCCUUUAAUCUUGGUGUUACAACUUGUUUGAUGACUAAUUCGAUAUCCCAGUUAUUGUGGUCUGAACAAACUCGGUGGAGUAGUGUUUUUGUUUUUACCUUCGUAUAUAUAGAAAUGGAAGAAUAAACAACUUUUUGAAGACAACUUCUUUCCGACAAAGGUGUUAUGGUACCAUUUCUGUUCAUUGCUUAAUUUGUUAGACUAUGCUUCGUCCUAAAAAUUCGUCAACUGAAGUAAUCUGAAGUUUUCAACUUCAUGUUUUGAGCCUCGGAGAUAAGGUUAAGCUCUAUGGAACUACUAUAUUUACAACAAUCUCGAUCUGAUUUCUUUGACAUGUUGAAUUUGUUGGUGGGACGCUGAGAUGCAAUGAAUAUGUGACAUUACGCAAAGUUGGAGAUGCAAGCCAUAAGGUUGGUCAUAUACAAUAUGCUAAUAGUAUUUGCACCCACAUUUUUAGCACAACAGUUCCAUAGCUAGAGUUCUAGUUUGCGGACGGAAAGUCUGACUAGCGUAUAUAUAAUUUGAUCUUUUGUAGGGUGGUGGUUCUGGCACCCAACAAAUUGUGAUUGAAGGCCCCUUAUGUGAGAAUUAUUACAAGAUUCGGGAGUAUCUCUAGUCACAAUUUUAUGUCCUUUAAGACCAUCUCCAACCUUUGGGGACAAAGCUUAAAAAUUUAAGCCAGAAAAUUUUAAGUCAUAAGCGAGAAACUGUUUUUCUCUUCUAACCCUUAUGGCUUAAAAUUUUAGCCUGUGAUGAUCAAAUAAUGAUUUUAGCCUAACUUUUUGUUUUCGGUAACUUUUUUUGAAAAUAAAAUUUACGUAGAUUAUCUUAAUCUAUUUUUAUAAAUAUUUUAGUCUAAAAAUAUUUAAAUUCCGAUAAGUAAUUAAAAAUCAUACAAAUACAUAGGUAUUUAUAAAGUUUUAAGUUAAAUUUGAUUUAAAUAAUUUUCUUAAAUUAUUUUAGAUGUUGAUUUAAUCUUGGACGGUCAAAUCUUUUUUUUACUUUUAGAUUUGAUCUCAUUUGAUCAUAACCGUUAAAUUAUAAGUAAAAAGCAAAAGAAAAAUUGAAAUAUAACAGUUUGGUGGAUUCAAAAUAAUUUAAGCCAACUUUAAAUCUUGGAGGAAUCUAGUUUAGAGAUAUAUUUUAUUUUAGCUUAUGGUUGGAGAUAGUUUGGAGGUUUUAAAAUUUAUAUUUUAAGCUUUAUUUUAUAAAUUAGAGAUCAUCUAAAUGGAUAGACAUAAUAUCUAAUGCCUUCAUAUGAACUUGAAUCACAAUGUUAACUUCCAGUGAUUCAGGAAACACACUAAAGUUUAAUUUCAACGUAGGACUUAUUUUUCGUCGAAGUUGUCAUGGACUCAUGGUCAGACAUUUUAAGUGAAAGUGACAAUAUGUGCAGCUGAGUUAAUGCCGUGGAAACUUGGUUCCUUAUAAUGUAUGGAAACUAACAAUUAAUGAGCAGACGCAGUUGCCCUUUUGUCUGAUUGCUUACGAUUCACCAUGGAAACCUGGUUCCUUGUCCUCAUCGCCCUCUGCGUCUCCUUCCUCCUCAAACCCCUUCUCUCUCUAUUCCUACCCACUUCCAUCUCCAGACCCAAUCUCCCUCUCGGGCCUCGCUUCUUCCCCAUCAUCGAGGGCUUCUUAUUCCUCCUCAAAUCUGCCUCGGAGCUCGAGCCUAUUAUCCGCAAACUCCAGGCCGAAUACGGGCCCAUCAUCUCCCUCCGCAUCGGCUCCCGCUCUACCGUCUUCGUCGCCGACCGCUCCCUCGCCCACCAGGCCUUAAUCCAGAACGGAGCCGUGUUCGCCGACCGCCCCCGGGCCUUGGCCACCAACAAGUGUCUCAACAGCAACCAGCACACCAUCGGCUCCGCCGGCUACGGUCCCUCGUGGCGUCUCCUCCGCCGCAAUAUCACCUCCGAAAUCCUCCACCCUUCCCGCGUUAAAUCCUACGGCAACGCCCGCAAAUGGGUUCUCGACAUCCUUGUCAACCGCCUCAAAACCGAGUCUCAAUCCCACUCAGAAGACGUCGCCAGCGGCGUCAGGGUGGUCGACCAUUUCCGAUACGCCAUGUUCUGCCUCCUGGUUCUGAUGUGCUUCGGCGACAA